This 87045-nucleotide long non-coding RNA is filed under the name Manihot esculenta (cassava). RNAcentral describes it as "long non-coding RNA (MESC_LNC005136)". Lineage: Eukaryota; Viridiplantae; Streptophyta; Magnoliopsida; Malpighiales; Euphorbiaceae. The record is from RNAcentral.
GUGUUUGCAAAUUAGGCCAAAAGAACCAAGCUUUGGCCUUGAUGAAUGAAAUGGUGGAGCAGAACAUAUCACCUGAUGUUUAUACCUUCAAUGUAUUGAUUGACGCUCUUUGUAAGGAUGGAAUGGUUUCAGAGGCUCAAAAUACAUUCAAUAUAAUGAUUCAAAGAGGUGUAGAGCCUAAUGUGGUCACCUACACUUCCUUAAUUGAUGGUCUUUGCAUUUCAGACCAAUUCAAGGAAGCUUUUGCCUUGUUGAAAGAAAUGGUGGGGAGGAACAUAUCCCCUAAUGUUUUUACCUUCAAUAUAUUGAUCGACACUCUUUGUAAGAAAGGACUGGUUUCAAAUGCACAGAUUAUAAUCAAAAUAAUGAUUCAAAGAGGUGUGGAGCCUAAUACUGUCAAUUAUAAUUCAUUGAUGGAUGGUUAUUGUCUUUGCAAGCAAAUUGAUAAGGCUAGAAAGCUAUUUGAUCUGAUGGUGACCAAUGAAAUAGCUGACAUUUUUAGCUACAGCAUUUUGAUCAAUGGAUAUUGUAAGUGCAAAAUGAUAGAUGAUGCAAAGGAUAUUUUUGUUGAAAUGUCUCAUAAAGGUUUAGUUCCUGAUGCUGUUACUUAUCAUACUCUUAUAAAGGGUAUGUUUCAAGCAGGAAGGCCCCAAAAUGCAAAAGAGCUCUUUAGGAAUAUGUGCUCUCAUGGUCAACAGCCAAAUAUAGUAACCUUCUCAAUUAUGAUUAAUGGCUUGUGUAGUCAGGGGAAUCUGGAUGAAGCACUCACCCUAUUGAAAGAAAUGGAGGAAAGUCGGUUGAAGCCUGAUCUUGUGACCUAUUGCAUUCUGAUCAAUGGUAUGUGCAAAGUUGGGAAGAUUAAUGAUGCCAAGGAACUUUUUUCUAGUCUUUUUGAAAUUGGUUUACAACCUGAUGUUUAUGUAUAUAAUGCAAUUAUGAAAGGACUCUGCCAACAAGGACUAAUGGACGAAGCGUAUAAGGUAUUUAGAGACAUGGAAAAGGGAGGAUGUUUACCGAAUAAUUGUUGUUAUAAUAUCAUCAUUCAAGGGUUUCUCAAGCAUGAGGAUUUACCAAAAGCAUCAGAACUAAUCAACGAAAUGGUUGAUAAGGGGUUCUCUGCUGAUGAUGCUAACACAGCAUUGGUAGUACAUUUAUCGCGGAAUAAUGAUCUCAUUCUGAGGCUUUUAAAGGUGCGCAAUGAGGGAUCAGCAAACUAAAGUUGUUAUAUCUUGACCAUUCAAGUUGUCUUGGAGCGCAACUUGGUAAUUACCUUUUUCAAAUAUAAUAGAUAUGUAAUUUAACUAACUUCUUCAAAUAUCAUUUUUAAUUUCAAUCAGCUGUGAUUCUCUUCCACAAAAUAAAAAUUUCUAACACGGCAAAUGACCUGUGGUGGAAACCAUGACAUGUGUGUGCCUUUCGCUUGAAUUCAGACAUGGACUUGAUCUCUUUGAGAUAAGAUUGUUGAUGAAUGGAGGUCAUGGAUUUCUAAUGAUCAAGUUGCUGGUAAACCCACCAUCUCCUUACAAUUUUUUAUUGGCUGCUACUACAGCCUCAACUGGAGAGCUCAGUCCUAAAAUUGAGUUGAGAACUAAAACUAAUUGGUUCCAUACUACAAUGCUUAAGAAUCUUUAUCUAUUUUUAUUUUUGUGCUCAAUGACCUUUUAAAAUGCUAUCAUUUCUCUUGUAGGUACUUGCAAGGAUAUGAUUACAACUUCACCUUUCUAACAAUAAAAAAGGUCUAAGCAAUUCUUUUUUGCUUAAUUAUUAUUCUAUUUUUAAUAAUUUUGAAAAUAAUGAUUAUAAAUCAGUGUGCUUUAAUUGAGAAUUGAUUUAACAAUUAGACUACACUAUAAAUGCAGGGUGCAGGAUAUACGGUCCCAGAGUACAAGGUAAGAGAAUCACUACACAUCUACAGCUGUUGGUUGGAUGAAAUGUCACUAAAAUUAUACACAACCGAAAAUGUUAUGGGAAUUGGGGAAAGGCAAACAUCCUCUUUGUNNNNNNNNNNNNNNNNNNNNNNNNNNNNNNNNNNNNNNNNNNNNNNNNNNNNNNNNNNNNNNNNNNNNNNNNNNNNNNNNNNNNNNNNNNNNNNNNNNNNNNNNNNNNNNNNNNNNNNNNNNNNNNNNNNNNNNNNNNNNNNNNNNNNNNNNNNNNNAUAUAUAUAUAUAUAUAUAUAUAGAUCCUUAAUUUCUUUUAUUUUCCUUCAAGUCAAAUUAGUGAAAUCAUUGCAUUAGCAUCUAAUAAUAUGAAGUUCACAAUCUUUUCCAAUGAAAUCAAUUUUUUAACAUGAAAAUUUGAAUUUUAGAAAUGUUUGUGGAAGGUAUAUAUAUUCUUCCCUUCGAGAUUCUUUAUUUUGUGCCAAGUUGAUUGGAUGUACUGUUUGAAAUGUUAGUUAAGUUAGGCAAGAAAAGUUGUUUUGGUUGUUUCUUUUCUCCUUUCAGCAGUAUAUAAUGAGACAUCUUAUGUUUUUACCACUUUCUAAUAUACUACUCAAUAAAAUUUUCUUUGGGCUCUUGUUUGUACAUGGUAUUUUUCUUUUUGCUUGAUGAUUCUUGAAGUUUUUGUGACUGCAUCCAUGGGAAUUGGUUUGUUAGGGAAGGUGGGGCUGACAGGGUACAUAUUGAGAGGUAGGAAACCAAUUGCAAAAUGAUUCAGAUCCUUUUACUCUUCAAAACUCAGAUAAUCCAAGUAGAAUUCUCAUAUCUGCACCGUUAAAUUAAGUAUAAAGAAUAUAUAGUUAAAAAGAUAAAUCUAUUUAUAUCCAUUUAAUUUUAAUUUUUUUUUAUCCGUUUGUAAAUUUAUUUUUUUUAUAGUGCUAGAGGUUUAAUAAGUUGGAGAGAGCAGGGCUCACAGCAGCCUCACUCUCUUGUAACCAUUCAAAGACUCGAGUCAUAUCAGUGGCGUUAAUAGCAUCUCUUGAUAUGUCACCUCUCUAGAAAAUUUGAACCCAUCCUAAAAAAAAAAGCAAGCAAACCACCGCACUUUCAGUGGCCGGAAGAGUGAUAUCACAUCUAUGAAUUGACUUAAACCAAGACUGGUCUUUAAAAUACUCUCACCAUGAAGCUCUAAAUUUACAACUGCAAAAGUAAAAAUAGAAAAACACAAUAUUUUCACCCCAGCCAUAGAGACAAGGAGAGUAAACCCAUAUCCAAGACUCGAGGAAGCCAUCCCUUAAAAGGAACAGGGAACGGUUGCAGGACUAACCAUUAGUAGAGAAACAAGGUUUGCCCUCAGAAGUAAACAGGCAGAGAUAAAGCACUCUCUCUUUAACUUUCACGGCUCUUAUUCAAAAAUUUGAUUUCAAAUUAUAAAAAUAUGCUUUUAUAUUAUAGCAAUUCUUAUCUAAACCAGCUUAACAUUAACUUAAAAUAUAAAUAUAUAAGAUUUUUCUUACAUUAGGUUUACAUAACUAUUUUUUUAUAUAUUAAAUAUACCCUUAAUUAAAAUGAUUUUUUUUCUAUUACAUGAAAAUAUAUUUGCACCUAUUUUCAAAUAAAACUUUAAUAUAAUUAAAAUAAACUAUGUUUGCCUUUGGUUAACAUACCAUUCACUCAUAUUACUCCUUAAAUAUUAAAGAACUCAUACUAUUAGAAGAUUUUUAAAAUCAGUAAAUUUUACUUUUUUUCAAUAGAUAUUAAAUAGAAUAUAUUAAUAAACUAAUAAAUAAAUCAUCAUAUACAAGUUCAUAUAAUUUAACAUUACACUGCUGAUUGCAACUACUUAGCUCCAUAACGCCAUUCUCUAAAACCCCAACUCUCACACCCAACCCUCUGCAAUAAACACAGAAACAAAACCUCAUCUCUCUCUCUCUCUCUCCCCUCAAAAGAAAAUCAAUAUAUAAUAUGUAAGUGAUCAAGUGAUUGAUUAUGGACAUCAUAGAUCUAACAGAAAAUUAUACCUUGCAAUUCACCCCCACAAAAAUAUUUUCCCGGCAAAGAACGAUCAUUCGAGCCGCUGUGUAUUCGAGCUCUCCAAUGACCACAGCUUGAAGUUACUUCAUUGUCUUGUUAGUGAAUGAUCAAGUAAUUCUUGAGAAGCAUUACCUCUUCUGGUUGGUAUUAAUUUUGUUGAGAAGCAAGCCAGGCAUCUCAUCAAUAAUGGCGAUUUACGCUUAUAGGAACGCGCUGAGCAGCUUCGCUACUGUUUCCGAACCAUUCACUGUUAUAAGAAGACCAAAGAGAAAGUCCACUUUUGUAUGAUAAGCUGUCAAUGAGAAAAUGAUCCUGAAUUCCUAUUCGUUGCCUCGGUGUGCUCAUCGACCUCGCCUUUGCCUUUGCAGAUUCUGUUGCAGCCAUGUAAGUUGGGAAAACAGGAGAAUUCAGUGCAGAACUGUCAUCUCCUGUAGUAUUCCGUUGUGUCCGACAAAAUGAUCUUCUUGGAAAUGACACUGGUGAACUCAAUGCUUCUAUGUUAUCUCGUUUCCGUGAACUCAUUUUCACUUGUGUUGUACCAAAUAUGUCACUUGCUUUCAGAUUCUCUAUCCGUUCUCUAGCCAAUUCUUCCAGCCAGUGUCUCUGUCUAUCAGGUUCAUUCUUGGCUAUUGAUUCUUCCAGUACAUAGAUAAGAAAGUAAAAAAGAGAUGUUUUUUUAAGAAUAUAAUCUUCGUUAUAUUAAUCUUCACAGUACACACAUGAUUUAAAUAAGAGAAUUGAUAACUAAAGUUGCCUAUUGAAUAGGAGAGAAUAAUGGAAAAAUAUCAUCAGUAAGUGAAUGAAUCACCCUAAGAAUCCUAAUCACAAGACUCAUUCAAUUGUAUAAUAUUUACAAAAUUAACACUUAUCACUCCAAUACUCAAGCCUUAGCACAGCAGCCUUAUUACUCCUGAGAGGUGGAACCAUUCUUAUGACUCCCUGAACUAGUAUCCCCCCUCAAAUUGUGUCCAGAAUGGAGACAGAGUUUGCGUCGAAAUUGUGCUAGACGAGUUUUUGUCAUUGACUUUGUAAAUAUAUCAGCAACUUGAUAUGCUGAGGGAAUGUAUCUCGUGAUCAGAACUCCUUGAGCAACGCGUUCUCUGACAUAGUCUAUAAAUCUUGAUUUUGGAUCAGUUACCAACACUCAAUAAAGUCUAUAAAUCUAUAUGCAGCCACUGAGUGUGUUGAUGGACAAGCAACUGCAAUUGGUCCUACUAGGGAUUGGAAUGCUAAUUUAGCUUCAGGUAUUUAACAGGACUUUUUGUCCAAAUGUAUUUAUGAACAAGUUCAUAAAAGGCAGGUUAGCUCUAUAUAUAACACAAGUAUAAUCUUGCAAUAUACUUGAUAAAAUUUUCUUUGAGCUGUUAUUUACACACCACCUGCAGUAGGUAUCCAGUCUUAAAUUAGUUAGAUAUUCAAUAAAAGGACUUUUUAUAUGAUUCCAAUAAUUCUCUACAUAAUAUGUUCCUUAAAACAAAAUUUGAUUCAAUUUAUUUUAACACCAUAAUUCUUUAUAAAAAAAAUAGCUACAAAAUUUCUUACAGUUAGUAAUUUAAUGGUCAUGGUCAGUAAACGGUCAGUAACUUAUUUUACAAAUCACUUUUUCCAUAAUUUGAUCAGUUAACAUGAUUUCUUCUGGUGCGUUAUUAUUUAUAAAUACUAAUAAUUACAUUGUAAAAUUUAUAAUUUAUUUUUAUUAAUAUAAUUUAUUUAAUUAAUUUAUAAUAUAAUAUUUUAAUUUACAUUUAAAAUUCACAUGUUCACGUCUAUUUUAAUGGAUUAAAAAAUUAUACAAAUAUAUAUUAUUUAAAAUAUUUCAAUUUAAUUUGUUCGAUUAAUUUACUAUUUUAAUUUAAUUUAUGUUCUAUUAACAAAUAUAAUAUUAAACUUUUAAUAGAUUAAAUAUUUUAUUAAAACUAUUAUAUGUUUUAAUAAUUUACUUAUAUUAAGGUUAGUAAUUAGAUAUAUUUGUCUAUACUAUAAAAUCUCAAUAUCAUACAAUACAUUAUUAAUAAAUAUACUACAUAAUUAGUUCAGGCGAGAAAGUGGGCAACAUGCUACAAACUAUAAUUCUUGCUAAGAAUUAGAAUUAAAUUAAAUUUGUAAUACUUUAAUAUAAAGAAAAACUAUAGUUCUUACUAAGAAUUAGAACCAAAUCAAAUUUUUAAUACUUUAAUGCAUUUCAAACUAAAUUUCGGUAUAGUUCUAAUACGAUUCUAAGUAAUUUUAGUACUAUCUCAAUUUGAUUUUAAUUUUUUUAUUUUAAUUUUAUUUCAAUUUAAAUUUUAAUUUUUACAAAUAAAAUCAUAAUAGCUUUUACGCAUAUUUUNNNNNUACAACUCUUGAUAAGAAUAUUUUAUUAUUUUAUGUAGUUAUUAAUUAUAUAAUUUUAAUUAAAAAAUGUAUGAAAUUAAUAUAUAAAUAUAUAUUAUAUUACUAAUAAUACAUUUAUAAUUGAUAUAAAAAAAGGAUGUAUAUAUCAUUCGAGUAUAAUAAUUUUUUAAAAAAUAUAUAUAUGUUAAUGAUAAUUUUAUUAAAUAACAGAUAUUAGCAAAUAUAAUAAAAAUUUGAAUAUUUCAAUUACAGUAAAAAAAUCAACUAAAAUGAUACAUUUUCUUAAUUUUAUUUUAUUAUAAUUUUUUUAUAACUUUGAUUAAAUAUAUUCAUAUAAUAAUGUGAUAUUAAGAUAAUAGGAGCCCAAAUUUAAUAGUCUAUUUGCAAUAAUAAUAAUAAUAUAUAAAAAAAUUAAUAAAGAGAUGAAAAAAUAACGGUAAAAUAUUGUUUAGUUUAUGAAAGUGUUAAAUUUGGUUGUGGAUAAAUAGAGUGGUUUAUUGAAGAUUUUGAAAUCAAAUGGACAUUCAAAGCCGCAAUAUAAAGAUUUAUUUGGCUUUAAAGAGAGAUAAAUCAACGUCAAUCAGACUGUGUAUCUUACUAGAGGUUCUUGUAUCCCACUUCUGAUUAGAUUGAUAAGAGAAUAAGAGACAGCUGAGGUUCAAGAGGUGAUUUGUUCAGAUCACAUGGGCAACUCAUACAAAAUUAAAUAUAAAAGGAAGUUUUUUCUUAGAAAUCUGAUAUAUUUUUCUAUGCUACAAAAUCUCAGUACAAGCGAGAUAGUGGGCAACAUGCUAAAAUAAAAAGCUAUAGUUCUGAUACUUUUAUCAUCAGAUUUUACUACAAUAUAUUUUAAUCUAUUAGUAAUUUUAACAGAUUUAUUAAAAAUUUUGAAAAUCCUUCAAUAAUUCUUAAUAUAAAACAUUAUAUAAAAAUUCACCAAUAGAUUUGAAAUCUGUUGGUAAUCUACUAGUAUUACUAACAAAUUUAAAAAUUUAUUGGAAAUUUAUAAAUUUAUAAAAUAAUUGGUAUUGAUAUUUAUCAACAGACUUAAAAUUUAUUAGUAAAUCAUUAACAAUUUUAAUCUGUUAGUAAAUUUAGGGGUGGAAAUGAAACAAACCGUUUGUGACCGUUUGUGAGCUAUUCGAGAUUCGACUCGAUAAAAACUUGACCGAACUCGACUCGAUUUCUAAACGAUUCAAACUCGAACUUAAUUUUUAGGCUUGUUUAGUAAACAAGGCAAACUUAAACCAUAUAGUGUCUUGUUAAGACUCGUGAGCUCGACUUGCGUUCGAAUUUAUGAGCAGACUGGUGAAUAGUCUCGUUAAGCAGACUGAAAUUAAUAUCAUAAGAGAAAUAAAUUUAACUCCUGCAUAUAUUUUCAUGAGGCAAAUCUAAAUUUUAUAAAAUUCAAUUCUAUAUUAUUUAAUUAUACUAUUAAAACUUGCAUAUUUGGAUUAUUAAGAGCUCAUUUUUAUAAGUUUAUAAGCUAAUUUUUAUAUGUGAAAGUCAGCUGCUUGCUUGAUGUGGGACGUCCCACAUCGGCGAAGUACAAAAAAUCAAAAUUGUAUAUAAUAAUUAGUAUGAAACUACUAAAUAACUUGAGUUAACCAUUUUGAGUUAGGUGGAAACUGAAUUCCAAGUUAUUUGGGUCAAAACUACCCCUGAGUCAGAGCUAGUGGCCCUGUCACAAUACCGAAGUUGAGCUUAUUAAUACUUAACUCGUCUAAAUUCAGUUCGAGUUCGAAAUGAGUAAAACUCGAGUUUGGCUUGAACUUAAAAAAAUUUUAACGAACUAAAUUUGAACUCUUCAAAUCUCAGCUCUACUCGUCGUUUACACCCUAAGUAAAAUUUUAAAAGUGUUUAAACUACUAACGGAUUUAAAAAUCCGUUACUAAAUAUUAUCAUCAAAUUAAUAAGUAUUAAAUUUAUUAACGGAUGCUAUCCACUAAUAAAUCUUUUAAUAAAUUUAAAAUAAAAUCCUACAAAAAAUUUCUGCAUUCUUUUUUUAUAACUCAUAUUUUUCAAAUUUUAAAUCCAUUGGUAAUUUUUUGAGAGAAAAAAAAAAAUUUUUUUUCAAAAUUUAGUAACGAGUCGUAAAUUUAUUAGUAAUUCACGUUUAUAAAUAUAACACAAACUCCUCUACUUUUAUCAUUCAUUCAUUUUAUAUCAUCCACCUUUCUUUCAUUUUUUUCACUUUCUCUCAUUUUCUUUUUUUCUAUUACAUUCUUUCAUUUUAUUUUUUUAUCUCAUAAUUUUUUUUUAUUUUUCUAUUAUUUUUCUUUCCUCUCUUAUCCUAUUUUCUCAUGGUUCUCUUUUAUCUUCUAUUAUUUUUUUCAUUCUUCAUAAUUUUCCUUUCAUUUUCUCCCUUUUCUUUUCCAUAUUUUUUUUUUCCUUUCCUCUCUAUACUUUUCAUUCAUAUUAGUUUUUUUAAUAUUAUUUUCUUCUAUUAUUUUCUUUCUAUUUACAUUUUUUCUAUUAUUUUCUCUUUAUUUAUUUUCUUCUCUAAGCAUUUGUUCACUUUUUUUCAUUUUUCUAAUCAUCUUUUUACUCAACUCUCAUUCAUUCUUUUUUUUCAUAAUUUUUAUUUUUCUAUUAUUUUCUUUAUUUUUCUCUUUUUUCUUUAUUUUUUAUUAUUUUCUCUCAUUUUAUACCAUUUAUUUUUUUAUUUUCACUUUUUUAGAUAUAAAUUAAAAACUUGGUAACAAUAAUAAUAUAAUUUUAAGUCUUAUUAAAUUAAUAAAAAAUUAUUUAAACUCUCAAUAGAUAUAUUAAUGAAUUGCAAUUCAUUGAUAAUUGACUAACAGAUUUCACAUCUGUUAAUAAAUUAUUUUUCUCUUAUACUAACGAAUUUAAAAUUUAUUAAUAAUUUAAAAUCUAUUAGUAAUAAUAGCGGGAAUUCCAUUAGUAAAUCCACUAGUUUACUGACGAAAUUAAAAACUGUUGGUAAAAAUUUAAUACCGACAUUUUAAUAACGGAUCGUAAUCUAUUAGAAAUCCCUUAUUAAUUAAUUUACCAACGAAUUUUUAUUAGAUUGCUAAUGGAAAAAUCAAUGCAUUAUUAAUAUAAAUUAAGAAGUUGAUUCUUAUCUUUACAAUAAGAUAUCUUUUAAACUCUUAAAAAUUUUGAAGCUAAAAUUGAAGAAACAUUCAUGACGUUAUAUUUUUCAUUUCAUGCAAGAUGAUAUCUGUUAUUGGAAUGCAUAUGAUUAUUUUAUUGAUAUAAAAUAAGUAUAAAGAAUAUACAAUUAAAAAGAUAAUUAUACUUAUCGAUCCGUUCGUAUCAUUUAAUUUUACUGUCUCUUUAUAAAUCUAUUUAUAUCCAUUUAAUUUUAAUCUCAUAUAGGUAAAUUAUAAGAGAUGAAGAGUUCUCCUUCCUUCCCUAUAAAAAGAGAAGGCCUCUCUUCCCUUCAAUAUUAGUACCUGAUUUUUUAUAAUUUAUAAUAUAAUAUACUAUAUAUUAAAUGUAUAGAAAUAAUUUAAUUAUUAUAAAUUUAAGUUAAUAUUAUUAAUAAUAAAAUAAAAUAAUAAAUAAAAUUUAAAAUGCAAAAUAUAUUUAGUGAGUUUAACAUUUCAAAAUUUUAUUAUUUUGAAAUAAUUUUAUAUNNNNNNNNNNNNNNNNNNNNNNNNNNNNNNNNNNNNNNNNNNNNNNNNNNNNNNNNNNNNNNNNNNNNNNNNNNNNNNNNNNNNNNNNNNNNNNNNNNNNNNNNNNNNNNNNNNNNNNNNNNNNNNNNNNNNNNNNNNNNNNNNNNNNNNNNNNNNNNNNNNNNNNNNNNNNNNNNNNNNNNNNNUUUUUUCCUCAUCUAUAUUAUAUACAAUUAGACUAUAAUAAUAUUUUUAAAAAUAUACAUUGAUAAUUAUUUAUUCAAUAAGGAAUAUUAUUUAAUAAAAUAAAAAAUCAAUAUUCUACAAUUAUAUUUAUAAUAUUUUAUUUAAAAAUAUAAAGUUAACAAAAUUAAUUAAUUUUCAAAUAAAUUUAAUUAAAUAUAAGGUACGGUUAUAAUAAAAUAUUAUUUUUAUGAAAAUCAAUUUAAUUAAUUCUCUAUAUUUUUAUUAAGAAUCAAAUAAAUUUAAUUUAAAAUUUUUAAAACUUUAAGCUAAUUAAACUAUAUAAUUUUAUUAAAGGCUAAAUAGAUUCUAACUUAAAAUGAUUUUUUAAUAAUAAAAUAUUAUUUUUAUAAUUUAAAAUAUUAAAAUUUAAUAUUUUAAUUAUCAUAAAAUUUUUAAAAAUAUAUAAAUAUAAUAAAUAAUUUUUAAAAUUAUAAAAAAAAAAGUUUUAUCAUAUAAAAAUUUUUAUUAUUAAAAAAUAAUAUUAUGUUAGAUUAUGAUUUAUUUGACUUUUGAGUAAUAAUAUAGAGAUUUAAUUUAUUUAAAAUUUUGAAUUAAAAUUAUUUAACUCUUCAAUAAAAGUAGAGACUUAAUUGCAUUUAUAUUUAUAAAAUUAUUAUUAUAAAAUGAUAAAUUUAAUUUGUUAUUAAAUAAUAUUUUUAUAUGAAAAAUUAAUUAAAAAAAUUACAAAAUGUGGCGCAUAUAAACAAUUCCCAAUUUCCUUUUGUUAUCCUUACCACAUUACCAGCAGGCAGAGAGCCUUCCUUUUCCGAUUCUCUAUUUCCGUUUCUCAUUCCCAAUCUCCGAUCCAUCCCUAAAAACGACUGACAAGAGAUCGAUGAUGAUGAAGAUGCCUUGGAGGAGGAAGAGCAGGAGCUUCCAUCUUCAGCUACAAGGGGCAAUUGGUACCAUUCAAUCUCCAUUCCUAUUCUUAUUUACCAAUUAUUGUCAUUCUUCUACUUCCACACUUGAAGAUGCACGCUUCUUGACAAAUAACUUCAAAUCUGCUUCUUUUACCCACCUUGAUGAUGCCAUUGCUUCCUUCAAUCAUGUAAUUCAUAAGCAUCCUCUGCCUUCUAGGGUUCCAUUUAAUAGAUUCUUAUCUGCCCUUGUGAAAAUGAAACAAUAUCACACUGUCCUUUCCAUGUCCAAAACAAUUGAAUUGCUAGGAAUCUCUCACGAUGUUUAUUCUCUUAGCAUAUUAAUUAAUUGCUUCUGCCAUUUACACAUUGUGGAUUUUGGCUUCUCUGUUUUUGGUAAGAUGCUCAAAUUCGGAUUGGAGCCUACCACUGUGACGUUUACUACCUUAAUUAAUGGGCUUUGUAUGGAGAGUAAAAUCCAUAAAGCAGUGGAAUUUUUCGAUGAUAUGGUUGCACGUGGUUAUCAACCUAAUGUUCGUACUUUCAAUGUGAUAGUAAACGGAUUGUGUAAAUUUGGGAAAACAAACGUGGCUAUUGGGCUACUAAAGGGAAUGGCUGAUAGAGGUUGUGAGCCAAAUGUUGUGACAUACAAUGCAAUCAUUGACGCACUUUGCAAGGAUGAGCUAGUUGGUGAAGCUUUAGAGCUCUUCUCUCAAAUGAGGAAUAAGGGCAUUUCACCUGAUGUCAUCACUUACACUAGUUUAAUUCAUAGUGUUUGCAAAUUAGGCCAAAAGAACCAAGCUUUGGCCUUGAUGAAUGAAAUGGUUGAGUGGAACAUAUUACCAAAUGUUUAUACCUUCAAUGUAUUGAUUGAUGCUCUUUGUAAGGAUGGAAUGGUUUCAGAGUCUCAAAAUACAUUCAAUGUAAUGAUUCAAAGAGGUGUAGAGCCUGAUGUGGUCACAUACAAUUCCUUAAUUGAUGGUCUUUGCAUUUCAGACCAAUUCAAGGAAGCUUUGGCCUUGUUGAAACAAAUGGUGGGGAGGAAUAUAUCCCCUGAUGUUUUUACCUUCAAUAUAUUGAUCGACACUCUUUGUAAGAAAGGACUGGUUUCAAAUGCACAGAAUAUAAUCAAAAUAAUGAUUCAAAGAGGUGUGGAACCUGAUGUUGUCACUUAUAAUUCAUUGAUGGAUGGAUAUUGUCUAUGCAAGCAAAUUGAUAAGGCUAGAAAGGUAUUUGAUCUGAUGGUGACCAAUGAAAUAGCUGACAUUUUAGGCUACAGCAUUUUGAUCAAUGGAUAUUGUAAGUGCAAAAUGAUAGAUGAUGCAGAGGAACUUUUUGAUGAAAUGUCUCAUAAAGGUUUAGUUCCUAAUGUUGUUACUUAUCAUACUCUUAUAAAGGGUAUGUUUCAAGCAGGGAGGCCCCAAAAUGCAAAAGAGCUUUUUAAGGAUAUGUGCUCUCAUGGUCAACAGCCAGAUAUAGUAACCUUCUCAAUUAUGAUUGAUGGCUUGUGUAGACAGGGGAAUCUCGAUGAGGCACUCGCACUAUUGAAAGCAAUGGAGAAAAGUCGGUUGAAGCCUAAUGUUGUGAUCUAUAGCAGUCUGAUCAAUGGUAUGUGCAAAGUUGGGAAGAUUAAUGAUGCCAAGGAACUAUUUUCUAGUCUUUUUGAAAUUGGUUUACAACCUGAUGUUUAUGUAUAUAGCGCAAUUAUGAAAGGACUCUGCCAACAGGGAUUAAUGGAUGAAGCGUAUAAGGUAUUUAAAGACAUGGAAAAGGUAGGAUGUUUACCAAAUAAUUGUUGUUAUAAUAUCAUCAUUCAAGGGUUUCUCAAGCAUGAGGAUUUACCAAAAGCAUCAGAACUAAUCAACGAAAUGGUUGAUAAGGGGUUCUCUGCUGAUGCUGCUACCACAGAAUUGGUAGUACAUUUAUUGCGGAAUAAUGAUCUCAUUCUGAGGCUUUUAAAGGCGCGCAACUAGGGAUUAGCAAACUAAAGUUGUUAUAUCUUGACCAUUCAAGUGUAUCUUGGAGCGCAACUUGGUAAUUACCUUUUUCAAAUAUAAUAGAUAUGUAAUUUAACUGACUUCCUCAAAUAUCAUUUUUAAUUUCAAUCAGCUGUGAUUCUCUUUCACAAAAUGAAAAUUUCUAACACCGCAAAUGACCUGUGGUGGAAACCAUGAUAUGUGUGUGCCUUUCGCUUGAAUUCAGAUAUGGACUUGAUCUCUUUGAUAUAAGAUUGUUGGAGAAUGGAGGUCAUGGAUUACUAAUGAUCAAGUUGCUGGUAAACCCACCAUCUCCUUUACAAUUUUAUUUUUGGUUGCUACUACAGCCUUAACUCGAGAGCUCAGUCCUAAAAUUGAGUUGAGAACUAAAACUAAUUGGUUUCAUACUACAAUGCUUAACAAUCUUUAUCUAUUAUUAUUUUUGUGCUCAAUGACCUUUUAAAAUGCUAUCAUUUCUCUUGUAGGUACUUGCAAGGAUAUGAUUAGAACUUCACCUUUUUAACAAUAAAGGUGUAAGCAAUUCUUUUUGCUGAAUUAUUAUAUUUUUAAUAAUAAUGAAAAUAAUGAUUAUAAACCAGUGUGCUUUAAUUGAGAAUUGAUUUAACAAUUAGACUACCCUAUAAAUGCAGGGUGCAAGAUACAGUACCAGAGUACAAGGUAAGAGAAUCACUAGACUUCUACGGCUGUUGGUUGGAAUAAAUGUCACUAAAAGUAUAGACAACAGAAAAUGUUAUGGGAAUUGAGGGAAAAGCAAAAAAAGACUAUGAAAAUCAGACAUAUGCAGCCACUGAGACAAGCAACUGCAAUUGGUCCUACUAGAGAUUGAAAUGCUAGUUUAGCUUCAGCUAUUUAACAGGACUUUUUGUCCAAAUUUAUUUAUGAACAAGUUCAUAAAAGGCAGGAUAGCUCUAUAUAUAACUCAGCUAUAAUCAAAGAAGGUGGCAGGAAAAAUGUCAAUACAAUGAAACUUCAUCUGAUUAAAUGGAAUACUCUUUGGUUGCCUAAAAAGAAUGGAGGCUUAGGCAUGAAAGAGAUCUGUCUUCAAAUUCAAGCUCUUUUGUUCAAAUGGCUUUGGAGAUUUGGAAAUCAUAGGGAUUCACUCUGAGUUCAACUUCUUCUAUCCAAAUAUUCUUUCAAUUUGGAGAAGGGUAUCUCUCUUGCUCCAGGAAAUUGCAUUUCUUCCCUUCAGAAAGACAUUCGAGGGUAUGCUACUUUCGAUGAACUCUUUCUCCUCUCCUUGAAUUCAUAUCAGAUUUGCUGUGGGGAAUGAGAUGAAAAUGAAAUUUUGGAAUGAGAGACGAUCGGUUGGUAAUAUUGCUCUCAAAUUCUCCUUUAGCAGACUAUUAAAUUUAGCUGCUAACCUAGAUGUGUUGAUGUUAAAUACGGGCUGUUGGGUGAAGAGCAAAUGGGAAUGGGAAAUAAUUGAAUUGUCAAUAUUAUACUUAAUCUUUUAUAUUAUUUCUAAUAAUAUAUUUUAUUAUUUAAAUAAAUUUAUUUUAGAGUUUUUAUGAAUUUAAAAUUUUAAGUUCCAUAAAUAAAUGUGGCAAUAUUUAUGUAAGAUUGUAAAUUCAAUAUUUUUUAAAAAGGUAGUUUUAGAAAAAAUAAAAUCGAUUUUGUAAACAACUUUUAAAAAAUGGAAAACCCAAUUACUUUAAAAAUAUCCAUUUCCAUAUAAAUUUAAUUAAAAAAUAAAUAUUUGCUUCUUUUUUUUUUAACUUUCAUUCCCCAUUAUUAUUUAUAAAUACUAAUAAUUACAUUGUAAAAUUUAUAAUUUAUUUUUAUUAAUAUAAUUUAUUUAAUUAAUUUAUGAUAUAAUAUUUUAAUUUGCAUAUAAAAUCCACAUGUUCACUACUAUUUUAAUGGAUUAAAAAACUAUAUAAAUAUACAUUAUUUAAAAUAUUUGAAUUUGAUUUGUUCAAUUAAUUUACUAUUUUAAUUUAAUUUAUGUUCUAUUAACAAAUAUAAUAUUAAAAUUUUCAUAGAUUGAGUAUUUUAUUAAAACUAUUAUAUAUUUUAAUAAUUUACUUAUAUUAAGACUAUUAUUAAUUAUUAAAAUUCUAAUACUAUUAAAAUAAAAAAUUUUAUUUUUUUUAAUAAGAGUACAGUUUUGUGAAUAAUAUUUUUUAUAUAUUAAAAUAAAAUUAUAAAUAAAAUAAUUAAAAAUAAAUAUUAUACAUGUUAAAAAAUUAAUAAUUAUUAAAAUUUGAAUAAUUAAUAUUAUUAAAAUACAAAUGGAAUUUAUAAAUAAUUAAUUUAGUGUGAAUAUUUCAUAUAAUUUGUGAUAAUCUAUCCCAUUUCAAACUCCUAACAAAAAAAUCUACUGACCUAUAAACUAAAUCUGCCAUCUUAAGAAACUUAAAACCAUAAAACCAAGAAAUUUUAUUUAUUCUCAGAAUUAUAAACUUAACCAUCACUUAAUUACCAUAUUUACCGAUUAACAUUAAUAAAUUAAAAUGAAAAUAAUUACAUAAUUAAUAAAAAUUCUUCUUCACUGCUUUAAUUUGCAAUUUUUUUUAAAACCAAUUAAUAAACUAAUCCAGCUAAAAAAUUUUAUUUAAUGCUAAAAAUCUAAAUUUUAUCAGAAAAAUCUAAUCUUUAUCCAUAUAUAUAAAUUGAAUCCCAAUUACUCUUCUCUCCUAUAAAAUUUCCUUUUGAGUUUUCUCACUCUCAAACAUUUUCUUAACUUAGAAAAUUUUAAUCAAUAAUGCCAUCGUGGAGAGCUUCUAACAUGAAAAUGGAUUCUCGCUCGAAAAUUUUAGGUCAACGACAUGUAACCAAGUCAUCUUUUUCCUACAAGUUACUUUCUAGUUCGACUGAUCAAAAAACUAAAAUACCGCAAAUUCAAAAGGGUUAUGUAGCAAUAUACGUGGGUGACGAGAGAAAGAGAUAUCAAGUUCUAAUAGAGAAUCUAGAGUUUUCGACAUUACAAGAACUUAUUAAACAGUCUCACGAUAGUGAUUUCGACUCCAAGAUUGAUGGACCAAUCGUGCUUACUUGCACUACUGAUAGGUUUGAUGAACUCCUGAAAUUUAUAAAUGGUUGACAUAUAAAACUUUAGAGAGUUUUAAAUAAUUAUUUUUUAUAUGUUUAAAUUACUAAUAAAUCCUUAUAUUUUAUCAAAAUUAGCUAUUUAAUCCCUAUUUUCAAAUCAUUAAAUUAAAACAUUUUGAAUUUUAUAAAGUCAAACUCUUUGAUAUUCUUAACGAAUAAAAUAUUAGUAAAUAUAUUUUUAAUUUUAAUUAGAAAAAUUAAAUUAUAUAUAUAAUUAAAAAAUAAAUAAAUAAUAUAAAAAUUUAUUUUAAUCGAAUAACAUAAAAAUAAAAAAUUAAAUAGUCAAUUUUGAUAAAAUAUAAUAACCAAAUAAUAAUUCAGACCCUUCAUGGCAAUUUCUCAGUAAUUUUAUCGAUUAUAUCUACCAUUUAUAUACCUCCUUUUUCAAGUUUUAUUUUUUCUAUCAUUGAUUUUUGUCAAUUUUUUAUUAUUUUAUCCGAUUUAAAUAAAUAACUUCUAUUUUAUUAUUUUAUUAAUUUUUUUAUUAUUAUUCUAAAGUUAUUGUUCACUUUCUUUCAUUAUAAUAAUAUAUAAUUGACUAUUAUAAUCUUAUUUAAUUUUAUAUUAUUUUCAAAUUAAUCUAUCAUUGAUUAUUAUUUUUUCAAAUAAGUAUUCAAAAUAUUUCUUAAUAUUUAAUAAAAUUUAAUAUUUUUAAAAUAGUAUAAUUGAAAAUUUUAUAAAAUAAAUUAUUUUUUAAUAUGUGUGAAAAAUUUAUAUUCAGAAAAUAAAUUUUUAUUAAAAAAUAAAUAAACUAUUAUAAUUAAAUCAUCAUUAUUUUCAUCUAUUUUUCACUCAUUAAAAUAUAUUUUUAAUGAUAUCAUUAUUAAUAUUUGUAAAUAUAUUUUUUAAUAUAAGUUAUCCAUCAAUUAUUUAUGAUUUAUUAUUGUAGAGUUGAUUUUUAAUUAUAUUUACUGUAAAAAAAAAAUCUUUUCACUAUUGUUAAAACAUGUAAAUUUAUAAAAAAAUUAUAAAAAUAAUAUAAUAUUUUAAUACAGGAUUUACUAUUAAAAUUUAUUUUUUUAAAAAAAAAAUUUAACUCAUUAAAAUUUAUUUUUGUAUAAUUUUAAUUUUAUAAAUAGAUUAAUAACAAAGUAAGAUAAAUAAAAAAAAUUAUAAUUUAAUAAUAAAAAUAGUAUUAUAAAAAUAAAUUAAAUAAUGAGUGAAUAACUUAAAAAAAAAAUUAAGUGGAGAUUUGAAUUUGAAAUCUUAAAAAUGAAAAGUAAAUUUUUUGAAUUGAAAAAUAAUAUAGAAGAUGAGAGAUUAAAUAAUAAAAAUUUCUUUGAUAAAUAUAUUAAAUAAUUUAAAAUUAUAAAAUAUAAUUAUAAUUUAAUUAAAUAAUUUUGAAAUAAGGUCGAAUUGGUAAAUUUUUAAAAUAUAUAAAAAUUUAAUAAUAAUUUUUCAUAUUUUAAGAAAAAUUAUCUAUACACCUUAAAAAAAUUUCAAAAAUUUCAAAAGGCUUAGGAGUCUGUCAAUGUGCACUAUCUUGCUAUUCGUUUGACACCAAACCCUUAGAUAAAGGUAAUAUAGAAAUUAAAACUUUAUUUAUUUCAUAAAAAAUAUUUUAUAAAAAAUAUUACACGUAUAGUUUUAAUAAUAAUAAAAAAAACAGCUAAUUUAGGGGUUAAGUGUCACUUUAUAAUUUUUGUGUUUUUAUUUUUCUAAAAACUAAUUAUAUAAAAAUAAAUAUAAAUUUUUUAUAUAAUAAUAAGAAAUAAUAUAAAUUUUUAAAAUAUGAUAUUUAAUAGCAAAAUAAUAAUUUUUAAAAUAAUAAAAUUUUAAAUUUUAUAAAAAAAUUCACUGAUUGCCCACAUAUAUAUAUAUAUAUAUAUAAAUUGAAUUCCAAUUACUCUUCUCUACUAUACAAUUUUUUUUCGAGUUUCUCACUCUUAAAUCUUUUAUUAAUUUAAAAAAAUUUUACCAAUAAUAUCAAGGCGGGAGCUUUUUAGCAGGAAAAUGAAAUCUCUUUUUAAGAUUUUAGACACCGUUAUACAAUUAAGUCAUAUUUUUCUUAUAAAUUACUCUCAAGUUUGACUAAUUAGAAAGCUAAAAUUCCACAAAUUUAAAUAGGCUAUGUAGCCAUAUACAUAAAUUUUGAAGGUAAGAGAUAUCAAAUUUCAGUAGUGAAUCUGAAGUUUCCAGUAUUACAAGAACUGAUUAAACAGUCUUAAAACAGUAAUCUCGACUCCAAGAUUGAUAACCAAUCGUACUUGCUUGCACUACUGACAAAUUUAAUGAACUACUGAAAUUUAUAGAGGUUAUCAUAUGAAACUUUAGAGAGUUUUAAAUAAUUCUUUUUUAUAUGUUUAAAUUACUAAUAAGUCCUUCCAUUUUAUUAAAAUUAAUCAUUCAAUCUCUAUUUCUAAAUUAUUCAUUUAAAAUAUUUUAAAUUUUAUAAACUCAAAUUCUUUAAUAUUUUUAUCUAAUAAAAUAUUAGUAAAUAUAUUUUUAGCUUUAAUUAGAAAAAAUUAAAUUAUAUAUAAUAUAAAAUUUUAUUUUAACCAAAUGACAAAAUUAAAAAAUUAAACGGUCAAUUUUGACAAAAUAUAAAAGUCAAAUAAUAAUCCACUCUUUUCUAUCUUAAAUUAAUUUUUUGGGUACUUCAUGGAAAAUUCUCAAUAAUAAUCUACUCUUUUAUAUAAAAAUAUUAAUAAAUUAUGUUUACACAACAUAUCAUAGAAAUUAGAUAAUAAAUUUUACUUAUAAAAAAAUUUAAAAUAUUUUUAAUACGGAUAAACUAAUUAAUAAAUAUUUUUAUAAAACUAAAAAAUUAAUUAAUAAAUUUUUAAUAUCAUAAAAACUAAAUAAUAAAAUGUUUAAUAAUUAAAACUAAUAAAAUGACUAAUUAAUAUAUUUUUUAAAAUUUAAAGGAUUUUUUAUUUUAUUUUUCAAAAUUAAUUAAUAAAUUUUUUUAUAUUAAAUAAUAAUUUUUUAUAAUAAUAAAAUAAAGAUAUAUUUUAUAAAUUAAUUAAAUAAAUAUUUAUUUAAUAAUAUGAAUUUGACUGAUGAAAUAAAAUUUUAAAAUUUUUAACGAUAAUUUAAUAAAAGUUAUAUAUAUAUAAAAAAAAAAAUCGCAAUGACAAUAAACAUAUUCUUAACUUUUCUCGUUAAUGGCACGUAUAUAACUAUUAAUAAUAUAAGGUUUUAAAGUGAAAAUACAUAUUUUCUCCAAAUGUCAUAUAGGAAAAAGAAGAAAUGAAAUAUCACUUAAAAUUAUUAUAAAUUAAUAAAUAAUAUAACUUAUAAAUUAUAUAAAUUUACUGUGAGUAGAAAUUGAACUUGUUAUGUAUUUAAUUAUUAUCAUAUUUUAAAUUUAUUAUACAAGAAAAUAAUAAUUUUUUAUUUAAUAAUAACUUUUAUUGUUAUUAAAUUUUUUUUAUCACUAUAUUAAUUAUUAUUAUAUAAAUUUAAUUUGUUAUUAAAUAAUAUUUUUAUAUGAAAAAUUAAUAAAAAAAAUACAAAAUGUGGUGCAUAUAAACAACUAGUAACGCAUUUCCUUUUGUUAUCCUUACCACUUUACCAGCUGGCAGAGAGCCUUCCUUUUCCGAUUCUCUAUUUCCUUUCCUCAUUCCCAAUCUCCGAUCCAUCCCUAAAAACAACUGAGGAGAGAUCGAUGAUGAUGAAGAUGCCUUGGAGGAGGAAGAGCAGGAGCUUCCAUCUUCAGCUACAAGGGGCAAUUGGUACCAUUCAAUCUCCAUUCCUUUUCUUAUUUACCAAUUAUUGCCAUUCUUCUACUUCCACACUUGAAGAUGCACGCUUCUUGACAAAUAACUUCAAAUCUGCUUCUUUUACCCACCUUGAUGAUGCCAUUGCUUCCUUCAAUCAUGUAAUUCAUAAGCAUCCUCUGCCUUCUAGGGUUCCAUUUAAUAGAUUCUUAUCUGCCCUUGUGAAAAUGAAACAAUAUCACACUGUCCUUUCCAUGUCCAAAACAAUUGAAUUGCUAGGAAUCUCACACGAUGUUUAUUCUCUUAGCAUCUUAAUUAAUUGCUUCUGCCAUUUACACCUUGUGGAUUUUGGCUUCUCUGUUUUUGGUAAGAUGCUCAAAUUGGGAUUGGAGCCUAACAUUGUGACAUUUACGACCUUAAUUAAUGGGCUUUGUAUAGAGAGUAAAAUCGACAAAGCAGUGGAAUUUUUCGAUGAUAUGGUUGCACGUGGUUAUCAACCUGAUGUUCGUACUUUCAAUGUGAUAGUAAACGGAAUGUGUAAAUUUGGGAAAACAAAUGUGGCUAUUGGGCUACUGAAGGGAAUGGCUGAUAGAGGUUGUGAGCCAGAUGUUGUGACAUACGGAGCAAUCAUUGACGCCCUUCGCAAGGAUGAGCUAGUUGGUGAGGCUUUAGAGCUCUUCUCUCAAAUGAGGAAUAAGGGCAUUUCACCUGAUGUCAUCACUUACACUGGUUUAAUUCACGGUGUUUGCAAAUUAGGCCAAAAGAACCAAGCUUUGGCCUUGAUGAAUGAAAUGGUGGAGCAAAACAUAUUACCAGAUGUUUAUACCUUCAAUGUAUUGAUUGACGCACUUUGUAAGGAUGGAAUGGUUGCAGAGGCUCAAAAUACAUUCAAUGUAAUGAUUCAAAGAGGUGUAGAGCCUGAUGUGGUCACCUACAAUUCCUUAAUUGAUGGUCUUUGCAUUUCAGACCAAUUCAAGGAAGCUUUGGCCUUGUUGAAAGAAAUGGUCGGGAGGAACAUAUCCCCUAGUGUUUUUACCUUCAAUAUAUUGAUCGACACUCUUUGUAAGAAAGGACUGGUUUCAAAUGCACAGAAAAUAAUCAAGAUAAUGAUUCAAAGAGGUGUGGAACCUGAUGUUGUCACUUAUAAUUCAUUGAUGGAUGGAUAUUGUCUGUACAGGGAAAUUGAUAAGGCUAGAAAGGUAUUUGAUCUGAUGGUGACCAAUGAAAUAGCUAACAUUUUUAGCUACAGCAUUUUGAUCAAUGGAUAUUGUAAGUGCAAAAUGAUAGAUGAUGCAAAGGAACUUUUUGAUGAAAUGUCUCUUAAAGGUUUAGUUCCUAAUGUUGUUACUUAUUCUACUCUUAUAGAGGGUAUGUUUCGAGCAGGGAGGCCCCAAAAUGCAAAAGAGCUUUUUAAGGAUAUGUGCUCUCAUGGUCAACAGCCAGAUAUAGUAACCUUCUCAAUUAUGAUUGAUUGCUUGUGUAGACAGGGGAAUCUCGAUGAGGCACUCACACUAUUGAAAGCAAUGGAGAAAUGUCAGUUGAAGCCUAAUGUUGUGAUCUAUAGCAGUCUGAUCAAUGGUAUGUGCAAAGUUGGGAAGAUUAAUGAUGCCAAGGAACUUUUUUCUAGUCUUUUUGAAAUUGGUUUACAACCUGAUGUUUAUGUAUAUAAUGCAAUUAUGAAAGGACUCUGUCAACAAGGAUUAAUGGAUGAAGCGUAUAAGGUAUUUAAAGACAUGGAAAAGGUAGGAUGUUUACCAGAUAAUUGUUGUUAUAAUAUCAUCAUUCAAGGGUUUCUCAAGCAUGAGGAUUUACCAAAAGCAUCAGAACUAAUCAACGAAAUGGUUGAUAAGGGGUUCUCUGCUGAUGAUGCUACCACAGAAUUGGUCGUACAUUUAUCACAGAAUAAUAAUCUCAUUCUGAGGCUUUUAAAGGUGCGCAAUGAGGGAUCAGCAAACUAAAGUUGUUAUAUCUUGACCAUUCAAGUGUAUCUUGGACCGCAACUUGGUAAUUACCUUUUUCAAAUAUAAUAGAUAUUUUAUUUAACUAACUUCUUCAAAUAUCAUUUUUAAUUUCAAUCAGCUGUGAUUCUCUUCCACAAAAUGAAAAUUUCUAACACCGCAAAUGACCUGUGGUGGAAACCGUGAUAUGUGUGUGCCUUUCGCUUAAAUUCAGAUAUAGACUUGAUCUCUUUGAUAUAAGAUUGUUGAAGAAUGGAGGUCUUGGAUUACAAUUUUAUUUUUGGUUGCUACUACAGCCUUAACUCCAGAGCUCAAUCCUAAAAUUAAGUUGAGAACUAAAACUAAUUGGUUUCAUACUACAAUGCUUAAGAAUCUUUAUCUAUUAUUAUUUUUGUGCUCAAUGACCUUUUAAAAUGCUAUCAUUUCUCUUGUAGGUACUUGCAAGGAUAUGAUUAGAACUUUACUUUUCUAACAAUAAAGGUAUAAGCAAUUCUUUUUGCUUAAUUAUUAUAUUUUUAAUAAUAAUGAAAAUAAUGAUUAUAAACCAGUGUGCUUUAAUUGAGAAUUGAUUUAACAAUUAGACUACCCUAUAAAUGCAGGGUGCAGGAUGUACAAUCCCAGAGUACAUGGUAAGAGAAUCACUAGACUUCUACGGCUGUUGGUUGGAUGAAAUGUCACUAAAAGUAUAGACAACAGAAAAUGUUAUGGGAAUUGAGGGAAAAGCAAAAGAAGACGAUGAAAAUCAGACGUAUGCAGCCACUGAAUGUGUUGAUGGACAAGCAACUGCAAUUGGUCCUACUAGCGAUUGGAAUGCUAGUUUAGCUUCAGCUAUUUAACAGGACUUUUUGUCCAAAUUUAUUUAUGAACAAGUUCAUAAAAGGCAGGAUAGCUCUAUAUAUAACACAGGUAUAAUCAAAGAAGGUGGCAGGAAAAAUGUCAAUACAAAGAAACUUCAUCUGAUUAAAUGGAAUACUCUUUUGUUGCCUAAAAAGAAUGGAGGCUUAGGCAUGAAAGAGAUCUCUCUUCAAAUUCAAGCUCUUUUGUUCAAAUGGCUUUGGAGAUUUGAAAAUCAUAGGGAUUCACUCUGAGUUCAACUUCUUCUAUCCAAAUAUUCUUUCAAUGUGGAGAAGGGUAUCUCUCUUGCUCCAGGAAAUUGCAUUUUUUCCCGUCAGAAAGACAUUCGAGGCUAUGCUACUUUCGAUGAACUCUUCCUUCUCUCCUUGAAUUAAUAUCAGAUUUGCUGUGGGGAAUGAGAUGACAAUGAAAUUUUGGAAUGAGAGACGAUCGGUUGGUAAUAUUGCUCUCAAAUUCUCCUUUAGCAGACUAUUAAAUUUAGCAGCUAACCUAGUUGUGUUGAUGUUAAACAUUAGCUGUUGGGUGAAGAACAAAUGGGAAUGGGAAAUAAUUGAAUUGUCUAAAAUAUACUUAAUCUUUUAUAUUAUUUCUAAUAAUAUAUUUUAUUAUUUAAAUAAUUUUUAUGAAUUUAAAAUUCUAAUUUCCAUAAAUAAAUGUGGUAAUAUUUAUGUGAGAUUGUAAAUUCAAUAUUUUUUAAAAAGGUAGUUUUAGAAAAAAUAAAAUCGAUUUUGUAAACAAAUUUUGAAAAAUGGAAAACCCAAUUACUUUAAAAAUAUCCAUUUCCAUAUAAAUUUAAUUAAAAAAUAAAUAUUUGCUUCUUUUUUUUUUUAACUUUCGUUCCCCAUUAUUAUUUAUAAAUACUAAUAGUUACAUUGGAAAAUUUAUAAUUUAUUUUUAUUAAUAUAAUUUAUUUAAUUAAUUUAUAAUAUAAUAUUUUAAUUUGCAUAUAAAUUCCACAUGUUCACUCCUAUUUUAAUGGAUUAAAAAAUUAUAUAAAUAUACAUUAUUUAAAAUAUUUUAAUUUGAUUUGUUCAAUUAAUUUACUAUUUUAAUUUAAUUUAUGUUCUAUUAACAAAUAUAAUAUUAAAAUUUUUCAUAGAUUGAGUAUUUUACAUAGAAUAAAAAUAUAAAAUUAUUUAGAAUUUUGUCAUAUCUUUCAAAUUAUAAAUCACUAAGUACAAUUUAUUAUUGAAAAUUAAUAAUUUUAAAUAAAAUAAAAAUAUAUUAUUAUUGUUAUUAAUUUUGAAAUUUAUAUUGUAUUAGGAUAAAGUUUUUUAGUUAUAAUUUAUAUAUAAUUUGACUAUAAUAAUUUUUUUAAAAAAAUGUAUAUUAACGGUAAUUUUAUUAAAUAACAGAUAUUAGCAAAUAAAAUUAAAAUUUGAAUAUUUCAAUUAUAGUAAAAAAAUCAACUAAAAUUAUUUAUUUUCUUAAUGUUAUUUUAUUUUAAUUCUUUUAGAUACUUUGAUUAAAUAUAUUCAUAUAAAAUGUGAUAUUAAGAUAAUAGGAGCCCAAAUUUAAUUGCCUAUUUGCAAUAAUAAUAAUAAUAAUAAUAAUAAUAAUAAUAAUAAUAAUAAUAAUAAUAAUAAUAAUAAUAAUAAUAUUUAAUAAUAAUAAUAAUAAUAAUAUUUAAUAAUAAUAAUAAUAAUAAUAUUAUCAUUAUUAUUAUUAUUAUUAUUAUUAUUAUUAUAUAAAAAAUUAGAUAAUUAAUAAAAAUUCCUCUUCACUAGGGUGAGCAGUAUUCAGUUCAAACCGAAAAAAUCGACCGAAUCGAAUUAAUUUGAAAAUUCAGUUCGGUUUUUUAUUUAUUUCGAUUCAGUUCGGUUUUAAAUUUCAGAAAUUUUGGUCAAAUCGAUUCGGUUCGAUUUUAAUCAGAAAAAAAUCGAAAAAACCGAACCGAACCGAUUAGUAAUAAUAAUAUAGUUUUUUAAUAAUAUAGAGAAAUUAAAUCAUAUUAAAAUUAAAAUAUUUUAAUUAAAUUUUAAAAUAUUAAAAAUAAAUUGUAAAAAAUAAAAAAAUUAUUAAAAAUUGAAACCGAUUAAACCGAAUCGAAUCGAACCGAAUCAGACCGGUUCGGUUCGAUUCGGUUUCUGACCAAAAUCGAUUCGGUUCGGUUUUCAUAAAUACUAAAAUUUCAAUUUUCGGUUUAUUCAGUUCGAUUCGGUUUUGAACAGAACCGACCGAAUGCUCACCCCUAUUCUUCACUGCUUUAAUUUGCAACUUUUUUAAAAUCAAUUAAUAAACUAAUCCAGCUAAAAUAUUUUAUUUAAUGCUAAAAUUCUAAAUUUUAUCUCACUUGUUAUCCAUAUAUAUAAAUUGAAUUUCAAUUACUCUUCUGAAUUUCCUUUCGAGUUUUUUCACUCUCAAAUCUUUUUUUAAUUUAGAAAAGUUUGAUCAAUAAUGUCAUUGUGGAGAGUUUUUAACAGGAAAAUGGAUUCUCUCCCUAGGAUUUUAGGUCAAUGAUAUGCAAUCAAGUCAUUUUUUUCUUAUAAAUUACUCUCCAGUUCAACUGAUCUGAAAACUAAAACACCGCAAAUUAAAAAGGGCUAUGCAACCAUAUACGUGGAUGACGAGGGCAAGAGAUAUCAAAUUCCAAUAGAGAAUCUAAAGUUUUCGACAUUAUAAGAACCGAUUAAACAGUUUCAUGAUAGUGAUCUCGACUCCAAGAUUGAUGGGCCAAUCGUGUUGCUUACACUACUGAUAAGUUUGAUAAACUGCUAAAACUUACAAGAGAUUGUCAUAUGAAACUUUAAAAAAAUUUGAAUAAUUCUUUUCUAUAUGAUUGAAUUACUAAUAAAUUUUUAUGUUUUAUUAAAAUUACAUAUUCGAUUUCUAUUUCGAAAUCACUCAAUUAAAAUAUUUUGAGUUUUAUAAAAUCAAAAACUUUAAUAUUCUUAUCGAAUAAAAUAUUAGUAAAUAUAACAAAUAAAAUUGAAAAUGCCAAAUAUAUGAAAUGAGUUUGAGCAUUUUAAAAUUUUAUUAUAUUGAAAUCAUUUUGUAUAUUAAUUUUUUAUUAUAUUAAUUAAAAUUGUAAUAUUAUUCAAAUAAAAAAUGCUUUAAAUAACUUUUGUAAAAGUAAAGCUUGGUAAAAAAAUUAAUUUAAAAUAAAAUAAUUAAUAAUAAAAAAUUAUAUAAAAUAAAAAUCAAUUAGAUUUUUCAUGAAAUUUUAUUCAAUAUUAAAAAUAAAAUUAACUAUUUAUAUAACCGCCUUUAAUUAGGUACCCAAUAUUGUAUAAAAAAAAUAAUAUAGAAGUAAUAUAUAUGUAUAAUUAACAUACACAAUGUCUACAAAUAGGCAAUAGCCAAUAGCACUUUAGCAAUGAUAAAUUAUUAUUAUAUAAAUUUAAUUUGUUAUUAAAUAAUAUUUUUAUAUGAAAAUUUAAUAAAAAAUUACAAAAUGUGGUGCAUAUAAACAACAGAGUAAUGCAUUUCCUUUACCAGCAGGCAGAGAGCCUUCCUUUUCCAAUUCUCUAUUUCCUUUCCUCAUUCCCAAUCUCCGAUCCAUCCCUAAAAACAACUGAAGAGAGAUAUGAUGAUGAAGAUGCCUUGGAGGAGGAAGAGCAGGAGCUUCCAUCUUCAGCUACAAGGGGCAAUUGGUACCAUUCAAUCUCCAUUCCUAUUCUUAUUUACCAAUUAUUGCCAUUCUUCUACUUCCACACUUGAAGAUGCACGCUUCUUCACAAAUAACUUCAAAUCUGCUUCUUUUACCCGCCUUCAUGAUGCCAUUGCUUCCUUUAAUCAUGUAAUUCAUAUGAAUCCUCUGCCUUCUAGGGUUCAUUUUAAUAGAUUCUUAUCUGCCCUUGUGAAAAUGAAACAAUAUCACACUGUCCUUUCCAUGUCCAAAACAAUUGAAUUUCUAGGAAUCUCACACGAUGUUUAUUCUCUUAGCAUCUUAAUUAAUUGCUUCUGCCACUUACACCUCGGGGAUUUUGGCUUCUCUGUUUUUGGUAAGAUGCUCAAAUUCGGAUUGGAGCCUACCACUGUGACAUUUACUACCUUAAUUAAUGGGCUUUGUAUGGAGAGUAAAAUCGACAAAGCAGUAGAAUUUUUCGAUGAUAUGGUUGCACGUGGUUAUCAACCUAAUGUUUAUACUUAUAAUGUGAUAGUAAAUGGAAUGUGUAAAUUUGGGAAAACAAGUGUGGCUAUUGGGCUACUAAAGGGAAUGGCUGAUAGAGGUUGUGAGCCAAAUGUUGUGACAUACAGUGCAAUCAUUGACGCCCUUUGCAAGGAUGAGCUAGUUGGUGAGGCUUUAGAGCUCCUCUCUCAAAUGAGGAAUAAGGGCAUUUCACCUGAUGUCAUCACUUACACUGGUUUAAUUCACGGUGUUUGCAAAUUAGGCCAAAAGAACCAAGCUUUGGCCUUGAUGAAUGAAAUGGUGGAGCAAAACAUAUUACCAGAUGUUUAUACCUUCAAUGUAUUGAUUGACGCUCUUUGUAAGGAUGGAAUGGUUGCAGAGGCUCAAAAUACAUUCAAUGUAAUGAUUCAAAGAGGUGUAGAGCCUAAUGUGGUCACCUACAGUUCCUUAAUCGAUGGUCUUUGCAUUUCAGACCAAUUCAAGGAAGCUUUGGCCUUGUUGAAAGAAAUGGUGGGGAGGAACAUAUCCCCUGAUGUUUUUACCUUCAAUAUAUUGAUCGACACUCUUUGUAAGAAAGGACUGGUUUCAAGUGCUGAGAAUAUAAUCAAAAUAAUGAUUCAAAGAGGUGUGGAACCUAGUGUUGUCACCUAUAGUUCAUUGAUGGAUGGAUAUUGUCUGUGCAGGGAAAUUGAUAAGGCUAGAAAGGUAUUUGAUCUGACCAAUGAAAUAGCUGACAUUUUUAGCUACAGCAUUUUGAUCAAUGGAUAUUGUAAGUGCAAAAUGAUAGAUGAUGCAAAGGAACUUUUUGAUGAAAUGUCUGAUAAAGGUUUAGUUCCUGAUGUUGUUACUUAUUCUACUCUUAUAGAGGGUAUGUUUCAAGCAAGGAGGCCCCAAACUGCACAGGAGCUCUUUAAGAAUAUGUGCUCUCAUGGUCAACAGCCAAAUAUAGUAACCUUCUCAAUUAUGAUUAAUGGCUUGUGUAGACAGGGGAAUCUCGAUGAAGCACUCACCCUAUUGAAAGAAAUGGAGGAAAGUCAGUUGAAGCCUGAUCUUGUGACCUAUUGCAUUCUGAUCAAUGGUAUGUGCAAAGCUGGCAAGAUUAAUGAUGCCAAGGAACUGUUUUCUAGUCUUUUUGAAAAUGGUUUACAACCUAAUGUUCAUAUAUAUAGUGCAAUUAUGAAAGGACUCUGCCGAGAAGGAUUAAUGGACAAAGCAUAUCAGAUUUUUAGAGACAUGGAAAAGGGAGGAUGUUUACCGAAUAAUUGUUGUUAUAAUAUCAUCAUUCAAGGGUUUCUCAAGCAUGAGGAUUUACCAAAAGCAUCAGAACUAAUCAACGAAAUGGUUGAUAAGGGGUUCUCUGCUGAUGCUACUACCACAGAAUUGGUAGUACAUUUAUCGCAGAAUAAUGAUCUCAUUCUAAGCAAACUACGAAAUCGUUCUGAGGCUUCUAAAGGGGUGCAAUGAGGGAUCAGCAAACUAAAAUUGUUAUAUCUUGACCGUUCAAUGGUGUCUUGGAGAGAAACUUGGUAAUUACCUUCUUCAAAUGUAGUAGAUAUGUAAUUUAACUAACUUCAAAUUUCAUGUUUAAUUUCAAUCAGCUGUGAUUCUCUUCCACAAAACAAAAAUUUCUAACACUGUAAAUUACCUGCAGUGGAAACCAUGAUAUGUUUGUGCCUUUCUCUUGAACUCAGACAUGGACUAGACCUCUUUGGAUAUAAGAUUGUUGAUGAAUGGAGGUCAUAGAUUUCUAAUGAUCAAGUUGCUGGUAAACCCACCAUCUUCCUUACAAUUUUUUUUUGGGCUGCUACUACAGCCUUAACUCGAGAGCUUAGUCCUAAAAAUGAGUUGAGAACUAAAACUACUUGAUUCCAUGCUAUAAUGCUUAAGAAUCUUUAUCUAUUUUACUUUUGUGCUCAAUGACCUUUUAAGAUGCUAUCAUUUUUCAGUAAACAUGCUGCAUUAGGACAAUAACUUGGAGAUUGGAUCAUAUAUUUUGAUUUUUACUAGUAAGAAUGCAGGUGUUAAAUCAGUGAACUAGCAGGUGUUAACACCUGCUUUCUGUAUCAUUUUACCAAAGCUACUCAUGCCUGUUUCCGUCCAUUAGAAUUUAACACCUACUAGUUUAUCAUAUACUUGCAUUACUUGUAAUAAGUUUAUGCUCCCAAAAUGAUUUCUAUUUAUUGCUAGUUUAUUACUUGUAGUAAGUUUAUGCUCAAAAUAAUUUAUAUCUAUUGCUCCUUGAGUUAAUACUUAUAACUUGAACUAGAGUUAAUACUUACUCCUUGAGUGCAAGUUUUAACACCUACUUGUUGAGUUUAAGUAUUAAUUUGAGCUUUUGCAACAGGUACAUCUGAGCUUUAGCAUGGUGCAGUAUGUCUUCCACCAGUCCAUCGGGUCUUUUCCCACAUGCCUGAGAUGAAGAUGGAUUAGAUGAGCAAAUCCAGGAUUUUUGUUGAUUACUUGUUGUACACAUUUUGGGGUACUAUUUGUUUUGGCAUUUACUACAAAAAUAUACUUUUAAUUAUACAUUUUUUUGUGGUUGUACUAGAUUAUUUAUGUGCAAAUUUAAGUUCAAAAGACUUUUCUUUUUAUUAUAAUUGAAUACAUCAGAUUUGUGGUUGAUUUGUGUUAUAUUAUGCAUUUAAUAGGUUGGUUUUGUGAUAUUUGUAAUUAUUUUGGAUCGGUUAAAUAAAAAUUGCAAACGAAAAUGCAAUUGAAAAUCUGGUUCAAAUUUCGUAAAGGGUGUAAGGAAGCAACAUUGAGUCACUUUGCUCUGUAGAUGAUUUGUUUUUGUCUUGUCAUGGGGCUAGGAAUUUGGUCUGUGGGCUUGGAGAGGCCUUGAAGUUGAGGAGGUUUUAGGAUUGCAAGUAAAUGAGUCUAAGAGCUGUGUUUAUCUUGCAAGAGUGCUAGAGGAGAUUAAGCAGCAAAUUCUACAAUUCCUCAAUUUCAGGGAGGCAUUUCUUCCUGUUAUCUAUUUGGGAUUACCUCUGGUAUCUACUAGUAUUAAAAAAGAGCAUUUUCAGAAGCUUAUUAGUAUAAUAACUAGUAGAAUUGACUCAUGGUCUGCUAAAUAAUUAUCCUAUGCUGGUAGGGUACAUGGUGAGGAAUAAGUUGAAAAGCCUCAGUUUUUGGGGAUCUCUAAACCUUGUAAUGCUAGUUGAUCUUGAAAGAAUUGGUGAAAAUUAGAGAUUGUUUUAGAAAGCAUUGUGCAUAUAAGUUGGGAAGAGGGGUUUUUCAUUUUGGUAUGACCCUUGCAUGGGUGGGAAAAGUCUUGUUGAGAGGUCUCUGAGUUGAAUAUGGGAUAUUCUGACAUCAUAGACAUACUAAGGUGAGGGAGGUUUGGAGGGAUGGUAUGUGGAGGCUUCCUAAUCCAUUGGGUUCCACUAUGGAAGGAGCCUGGGAAGAGGUUCAGAAAUAUUACGUAAGCAAUGAAUGGGCAGAUUGUAUUAAAUGGAAACUCAUAGACUUACACUGUUAAUAGUACUUGGAAAGUCCUAAGAAGGAAGGGUGGAGUGGUUAAUUGGUGGAAGGUGGUGUGGGGUGAGCGUAUUCCCAGGCACAGUUUUAUAACCUGGUUAGCUAUCUAUAGUAGACUUGUUGUCAAAAAGAGGCUACUUAGAUGGGGAAUGGUAAAUAAUGCGUGGUUUUGCUUAUGAUUACUUAAUAUUAAUUAGAUUAAUGAUCACUAAUAGAUAAAAGUGUCUGAAGGAAAGAGACACUUAUAAAGAUUAGUGUGUAAAAUCUAUAUGAUUAUUUAAUAUUAAUUAGAUUAAUGCUCACCUAUCGAAAAAGGUGAAAUUAAGUAAAAAGGUCAUGUUUUUUUAGUAAAUUGUAUCGCUCACGAUUAAGUAGAAAUGUUCUUGUGACAAUACUUUACAGUUUUGGCAUGGUGCAGUAGUUAGGAGUAUAAAUGAAUUAAAUUAUUUGUUUGUGAGUUAUUUGAGAUUCGACUCGAUAAAAAUUUAAUCGGGCUCGAUCUAAUUUAUAUACAAGCCAAGUUCGAGCUUAAUUUUUAGACUUGUUUAGUAAACGAGUCAAGUUUGAACUCCAUAGUAUUCGGCUCGUUAAAACUUGUGUGCUCGACUCUUUUCCGAGUUUAUGAACAGAUUCACAAAUAGGCUCGUAAAUUAUCUCGUUAAGUAGGCUGAGAUUAACAUCAUAAGAUAAAUAAAUUCAAAUCAUGCAUAUAUUUUCAUAAGCCAACCUAAAUUUUCUAAAGUUCAAGUCUACAUAGUUUAAUUACAUUUUUCAAACUUGCAGAUAUUUGGAUCGUUAAGAUUUAAGAGCUCAUUCUUUACAAGUUUGUGAGUUAAUUUUUAUAUAUAUUUAUUGAAUUAAAAUUAAGUAUUUGAUUGUCUAGUAUAACUUGGUUAAGUGACUAAAAGAAUAUGUAAUUCAUCUGAAAUUAUAAAUUCAGUUUUCACUCCUCUAUUUCCCAAAAAAUAAUUAUUAUAAUAAAAUAGAUAAUUGCUAAAAAAAUCUUACAUUUUUAAUUUUAUUACGGUUAUACCUUAAACUUUUAAAUUAUUAUCGAUUUAAUCGUGAAAUUUGUUGAUGUGUCAUACUGAUAUGAUAUUGAUAUGGCGAAUGACGUGGCAAUUCUGUUAGUUUUUAACGGCACAAGUAACAGUAGGGUAUAAUUAGAACAACUUUAAAAGAUAAGGGUUUAAUUGACACAAAAAAAAAAGUAUAGAGUGUAAUUACAAUAAAAUCAAAGUACAAAAUUUUUUUUUCCAUUAACGGUUGAACAUAUUAGUUUUAAACUAAAAAUCAUUAUAUAUGUACAUAAAUUGAACUGUUCAUGAAUUAUUCGAUAUUAAACUUGAUAAAAACUCAACUCGUUUAAGUCUGUCUGCUAAAUGAGGUUUAAGUUUCUUUACUAAAUGGGGCAAGUUUGAAUUUAUCGAUACUUGAUUGGAGUUCGAAAUAAGUAAAAAUUGAGUUUCACUCAACCUCAAAGAACUUUUAAGAAAUUAAGUUUAAGCUUUUCAAAGUUUGGAUCGUUUCACUCACACCCCUAACAGUAACUCCUCCAUUCAGUCCUUUCUUGUGAGUCUCAGAUGAAGAAGGAUUAGAUGAGGAGAUCAAAAAUCUUUAUCCGUUACUUGUGGAUUAUUUGUUAUUUACAUUUGUAGAUAUUAUUUAAUUUUAUGUUUACAAUAAAAAUAUACUUUUAAUUAUGAAUUUCAUUUUGGUGUUGUAUUGAAUUAUUUAUGUUCGAAAUAAUUUUUGAUUUAUUGUUUCAAUGCACUAUAUUUGUAGUUGAUUGUAUAAAUAUUGGGUUUUUGAUAUUUACAGGUGUUUUAGAUUAGUGGCAUAAAAAUUAUAAAGAGAAACGCAAAUUAAAAGUAUAUUUAUAAAAUUACAAAUAAAUUUAUAAAUAAAUAUUUUAUUACAUUUACAAACGGUGUCGUAUAUAAUUUAGCAAGCAAUGUCCAUAAAUAGAUAAGUUUAAAUUACAAAUGGACUUAAUUUUUUGUAUGAUUAAUGAAUUUAUAAAUAAAUAAAUUAUUUGAAUUUUAAAUGAAUUUUACAAAUAUAUAAACAGUUUGAAUUACAAAUAUAUUUCAUAUCAGACAUUUAUAUCAUAAAUAUUUUUAUAAAUAGAUUGUCCAUUUUAUAUCAUAAAUGAAUUUACAAAUAAAUUAUCUGUUUAUACAUAAAAUUUUAUUUAUAAAUGAGAGAAUAUAUAAUAAAAAAUUUUAUUUUUCAUUUCAAAAAUAUUACAUAUGAAAUUUACAUAAAGUUUGCGAUCGUAUAUUAAAUUACAAAUGAAAGUGCAUAAUUUUCAACUAGAUUUUUUCAUGUGUAAUUUUUUUUUUUUUUUUUAGUGGCAAGUCUAAUAAGAAUGUUGAACAAAUACUUGGUCUCUUUUUAUUCGCAGACGAGACAUUACAGUGGUAAAAGUUAGGAUCUUUUUAAUAGGAUUUGAACAAUAUAAAUAAAAACAAAGGCUGGGGGAGAAAUAAUAGGAUUGCAAAAAAUAUAUAAGAUAAUUUAUUAUUAUAAAAAUAAAUGAAUAAUCUUAUUUAACAUUUAUUCGCUAAUAAAAAUUAAAUAAUUCAAUAUAUUUUAAAAAUUUUAAGUUAUAAAAUUCUAAUAAUGUGAUAUGAAAAUAUAUACAAUAAUUUAAUAUUAUACUAAAAAGGAAUUAUUUUUAUUUAAAUUAAUUAAUAACAAAAUUAAAUUAAUCAAUACUUUGAAUAAAUUUCAACUUAUAAAAUUAUAGUAAAAAAAAUAAGAAUUCUAAUAUCAUCUCAAACUCAGUUUUAAAAUAAAACUCCUUCUACAUUAUUUACAUAGGAAUAAUAUUAAUAAAUUAAACUAAUAUUAUGUUUUUAAUGGAAUAAAAUAAAAUGAUAUAAAAUAUUAAUGUGGUUGAUUAAUUUUGAAAUUCUAAUACAUUUUUAAAGUUAGUGUACAGUAAAAUUAAUAUAAAAUACACUUAAUUUAAUUAAUUAAAUAAUAACUUUAAUUGAUUAAAAUAUAUACACAUAAAAACUCCAUGUGAUUAAUAAAAAAAUAAUAACUUUAAUUGAAUGAAAUAUAAAAGUUUAAUGUAAUCAAUUUUUAAUAAAGAGUGAACUAUAUUUAUUAUAAAUUUAUUAUAAUAAUGAAUAAUUAAAUUUAAUUAAUUUAAAAUUAAUAAUAAUAAUGAUCAUAAGAAUAAUUUAUAUAAAAAAAUAACGUUAUAAAAAUUUAAGAUGCUAUAAAAUUUUUUUAAUAAAGUUUAUUGGUGCAAAUAUAUAUCUAGUUUUUCUUAAUUCAAUUAUUAUCAAUUUAUUUUACUCUUUUAAUAAUUACUCUCUUAAAAUAUGUUAGAGAAACACUUUUUUUGUAAGUUUUAUACCAAACGUACUUUAUAUUCAUUUGAUAAAUCUGCUAAAAUUUAAUUUAUUGUACAGAAUUUAAAAUUAUUUAUUUUUCUUUUUAAAAAAUAAAAAAAAUCUUUGUUUUACCAUGUUUCAGCUUUUAUGUAAUUAAUAUGAAUAAAGAUUGGUUUUAUACUUAGUAAAAUAUAAAUUCAAGUAAAUUCAUGUAUAGAUUUGUCCUAAAAUAUAUGUAAAAUGUAAUGUAAUUAAUAUCAAUAAUAGUAUUUAGUGAUGGUAUCCUCAGCAUAUAUAAUGUCGGGUAUAAAUUUGUAAAAUAAAUAAAUACGGAAUGGUUGGUUGUGGAUAAUUUUUGUGAUACUUAGGUCAGUAAGUGAUUUAUCAGAAAUUUUAAAAUAAAAGGUAUAGAGAAUAGUUUGAUUAAAAGAGUAUAUACAUGAGGUGUCUUUUUAUAGGUCUAAAGUUGGUUGAUUUUUGGUAGAAGUAGGAUUCUUUUUUGAAAUCUAUUUUUGUAACGACCCGGAAACCGGACCGCUACCGGCGCUAGGAUCCAGAUCGACUUAAGGUCGCCGGGAUCCGUAGCAAACCUACUAUACAACCUGUGUACCUGAUAAAACCCAUACAUGAUCAUACAUUUUCAUAACAUUUUAAAUUUUUCAUAUGCAAGCUUGACCUGUGCAUGCACCAUAGCCAAAAACACAAAACCCCUAUACUAGAGCCCUCAUCAAAUGCUCUAGUAGGGUCAACAUUUCAUACGUCAAGCUUGGUUCAACAUACCUCAUCAUUAAAAUAUUUCAUAUAGAUCAUGUAUAAAAGGGUUUAACCAUACAUCACUAGGGCAAAGCACAAUUCUAUCCAUAAUACAUUACAUUACAUUAUAUUACAUUUCGUUCCAUAUCAUGUUCACUACUGUUCUAUUACAUAACAUAACUAUUACUCUUGCUGACUUCUUGAGCUACCUCUGACCUGCAAACUGGGGGUUAGGGGAAAUGGGUGAGCUACUAAGCCCAGUGAGCAGAACCAUAAAACAGUUAAAUAAUCAUAUGCUCAUAUGGAAUGCACCACAACACAAACAAUACACAUUAAGGAUGGACUGACCCAAAAAUCCCUCUACUCUGUGCCCGGCCCUCGGUGGAGCUCCUCAUGACUUCUUUACUUACAUAAAUUGCGUGCCAGGGGCGUAGAAUGGGCAAUUCUGGUCUUUCAUUACAUAACAUAAUAUGUAGAGGGCUAAUGGUCGUCCUGUUGUCCAUCCACAUCAACAACCAGUUAUGCAGUGCAGCAUAUUCGUGAAGUCUAAUGCAAACAACCUAUUACAUAUACAUGAUGCGUGAACAUGCUUAAAACAUUUGAUUUCUUGAGAUAAAAGAUUAGUUUAGUUCUACUCACCUCUGACUGACGCUUAACUAACUCUGAAGCAGCUAGCUCACUGCUGGUCUCUUCGGUCUCUCGGCUCCGAACCUACACAGGUGGACUCAAAUGAGGGACCAAACAUACUCUAUAAAGACUCUAAAUAUAGCCCCCAAAACCCCCCAAAGCAUCAUAAAACAUGCAUGCAAAACAGGCAAGGGAAGGCUGGACAGAGGACUUUCGGCGGCAGGUUCGGCGGCCGAAGGUCCCUACAGAUCCGAAAGUCAAGCACUUUCGGGGGCAGGUUCGACGGCCGAAACUUCACUCUAGAGACGAAAGUCACCAACCUUCGGCUGCUGAAACUCCUCUCCAGAGCCGAAAGUUCAACUUUCGGAGGCGAGCUUAGGCGGCCAAAACUGCCUCCACAGUCAGGUUCGACGGCCGAACAUGGCUUCGGCGGCCGAACCUGGAUCCUUCUGAGUGGCAGAACCCGAUUCUGCCAUUCCACAUCUAGCCUCCCAAAACCUUCCAAACUCAAACUCAACACACCAAAGCAUGCAUAAACACAUUCUUAAGCAUAUAGGGGCAUAAAACUAGCCUAAACCCCAACAUAACAUCACAUAAACAUACAUAGAGCAUACAUUCAAUAUAAACCCUAACAUUUUCACAACUAACCUAAACAUGCAUCAACAACCCAUAACCCCCUUAUAAAACAUACUUAAAACAUAAAAAAGGGUAUGGAUCUACACUUACCUCUUGAAGAUCGAGAGGAGAGGUGAUCCAAACUUGGAGAUUGGGAGAAAUCGAGCUCCGGGGUCUCCAAGCUUCAAAACUUUAAUCUUAGCUUAAAAACUUCAAAAUAAGGGUAAAAACUCAUCAAAAACAUAAUUGAUUUGUAGGAAAACAUAAAAUCAACCAAAGGAGGGCGAAAUCUCACCUAUGCUCAAAAAUAGAGAGAGAAAACUCGUCCGUUUUCGGAUAAGGGGCUUUUUAUAGGUGGCUGGCCAGACCACCUUCGGAGGCCAAAAGUGCCUCCGCAAGAGGCCAAUGUUCGGAGGCCGAACAUGAGGUUUGGCGGCCGAACCUGGCUUUUUUCCUCCUUGGUCUUUUCUUUCAAAACUCAAUUUCCUUCUUCAUUAAAACCAUAAGAACAUAUAAAAAUAUUUUAGAAAACCUUUAUUUUCACCAUUCUAAGGGAUUCCGGCCUUAAGAUUCCAGAUUUCAACGGAAAUUCCGCUGGAAAAUUGGAAUUCCGGUGCCGGAACUUAGCCAGGUGUUACAAUUUUGGUCCUAAAUUGUAGAAUUUUACUUUAAAGACUUUUUACUUAUAUGUGAUUUAGAAUCCUAAUUGUCAUACGACUUUUACGUGAUUUGAACAAUGUUGUCUAUUUGGAUUUCGGCCUAGUAGGCCGAAGCCUUCGGCUCCGUGAUCGUCACCUUUGGUUUCAAUCCUAAGGCUGAGACCUCGUGUUGAUAUUAGCCUUGAGGCUGAAAUCUUGAGGUCUCGACAUCCAUUUAGCAUUUUGGAUGCCGAGAUCUAAGAGUUUCGACCUUUCGGUCCUAAAGCCGAACACCUUUGAGUAUCAGAACCUUAUUUCUCACUAAAAUGCAUCGCUUAGAAUCAAGCAAAAUAUGACAUAUUUUUAAACUAAUAUAAAUGAUUAAUUAUAUAAUAUUAUGAUAUAGACACUAGAGAGCAUUUUAGUUUUCUUUUUUUUUUCUUUAUAUAUAUAUAUAUAGACACUUGAGUUUAUCUUAUAUAUGUCUAUAAAUGGUAGUUUUAGAAUUUAAGAUAUAAAUAUAAAUAAUAAGGUAUUAUUAUUUAAAUUGCCAAAACUACAUUUAAUAAUUGUAAGUUUGAUGAGUAGCAGAACUCACCACUUGUUUCUUAUUAAAUUUCAUAAUUUUAAUAUAAAUAAUUAAUUUUUACUUAAAAUUUAAUUUUGUUCAGGUUUUUAAGCGGAAGUUAAAGAAAAGGAACGCAAAUAGGCUUAAUUAAAAGAUUUUCAAAUUGAGAGUUACAGUAUUGGGUAAGCCUGUAGUCCAAGACAAUGGACAGCUUCCGAUUUCAAAAAAUGCAACUUCAGCCCAAUUUUUUCAGCUGUAUUAAUAUAAGAUCAACUUUAAAUUGGAGCAAAUACAAUCAUAUUAGAAUAGGGAUAAGAUAGAAGUAAUAAAAUUUAUUUUAAAUUGUAAAUAUUUAUAUUUUUGUUGGAAAAAAAUCCAUAUAAAGGCUACUCAAAAAUUAAUCUAGGUAUCAUAUUUUUCUCUUCUUCUUCUCCCCUCUCAAAUUUGGCCACCUCCUUGCUGUCCCCUUCUUCUUCUCUUUAGUUUUUGUAAUUUUAUCAUGACUCUUAGGGAUUGACCAAUUCUUUUCAAUUGAAAGUUAAUCUAAAUUGAGGUUUUAUUCAAGUUGUGAGAUUAUGUGCUUAAAUUCUCUUCCUAUUAUUUCUAUUUUCUAUUAAUUUCUAUUUUCAAAAAAUACGACCUCGAUUGUUGUCCUCUUAGAAAUUAAGGGGCCCAUUGAAUCUCUUGGAAAGACAACAUAUUACUCAUUAACUCAAUUAAAUUCGUAAUUGUUUAAUUGAGUUAAUAAUAAAUACUAAUUAUGUUAAGAAAUUAGUUUUGAUUUAAAUAAUUCGCGUGUUAUUAUUGAUCAAAUUUAGUGCAAACUUCUUUUCUUUUGUUGGAGUGGUUUGACGUCUUUGUCAACAGACAACUUAUGAGCAGUGAGAGCGAAAUUCACUCUUAUUACAUCUUUUGGAGACCAAGCGAAAAUGGUUACUUGGCAAUUUAGCAACUCUAUUAAAUAAGUCUUUGUUUCACUGGUUAACGCAAUACCGAACCGUACUUUUUGAUUCUUAUCUAAUUCAACCUUUUCUACUAGGUCUCUAGCUCUGUUUUUAUGUGAGAUUCUGGCUUCUUUAGCAAGUCAAUGGGUAUUGUGGCUUUCUCGAGACUUUUUGCGGGGUGUUCGUAAUAUUCUUUAGCCAAUCUCAGGCUACCUCAGACCACGGUUAUCCCCCUGGAGCUGUUAACUUAAGACACAUAGUAUCCGUGUUAAUAACAAUACUGUGACAGUUUAGAACUGGGCGACUGAGUAUCACAUGGUACACAAAUGAGAUAUCUACCAUCGCAAACUCUACAUACAACUCUCGCCUAUAUUUUUCGUCACCCAGGGAAGGUUGAUGGUAUCUACUACUGUCACGGACUUAUCUCCUAAGAUAGGAAACUUUGACAAGACUGUUUUUAUCUAAAUCUAACUUGUUAAAAAUAUUUUAUAUGAGAAGGUUAAUGGAACUAACUGUAUUCACCCAUACUCGCCUUACUUCGAAUCUAUUUUAGAAGGAUUUUAACAACCACUAGGUCAUUUUGAAAGAAUCCAAUCACUUUACCUACAGGACCAAACCUUUAUUUUUUCCUUUACCCUUGUCAUGUCCUCUAUAAUGAUAUGUAUGAUUCCGGCCAUUUAGCUAUUUCAAGAUAGAGAAGAGAUAUUUCUUUUUUAGAGAAUUAGAUAUAUUAUAUGACCCUAUUUACGCUGGACUGUAUCUGAUAACGGUUACUUUACAUUGAAAUCUUGAUAAUCAACCGCAUAUUUAAAGUGUCUGAAUUUUUCUUUUCUCAAAUGAAAAAGUAUUACUUAUUUAUAAGGUUCUUGUCAUAUCACCCUAUUUUAUGGCAAUAACUUAUAAAUUUAUUGUAUUUUAUUAUUAUUUAUAAAUAUUUAAUUUAAUUGAUUAAUUAUAUCAAUUUUCUAUUUAAAUUUAAAUAAAUUUUAUUAUAAGAACCCACUAAAAUUUAAAACUUCUUAUAAAAUAUUAAUUUUAUAAUAUCAAUACUUGAGUUGGCUAAAAAUUUCAGCAAUAAAUAAUUCAUGCUAAUAAUUUUUACUAAUUAAUAUUUCAUAAAAAUAAUAAAUCGGCAUAAAAUUUAUUUUUUUAAUAUUAUAAUAAAUAGAUAUAAAAAUAAAAGUAUUAGUAAUCAAUACUAUUUUAUAAAAAUAAUAUAAAAAAUGAAUUUUAAAGCCAUUUAAAUUUUUGAUAAUUUUAUAUUUUAAUGUUUAGGUUCACACAUUAAUUUAAUUUUUUUAAUUUAAAAUUUAUAUAACCGCCUUUAAUAUACACAAUGUCUACAAAUAGAAAGUAGGUUAAAAAAANNNNNNNNNNNNNNNNNNNNNNNNNNNNNNNNNNNNNNNNNNNNNNNNNNNNNNNNNNNNNNNNNNNNNNNNNNNNNNNNNNNNNNNNNNNNNNNNNNNNNNNNNNNNNNNNNNNNNNNNNNNNNNNNNNNNNNNNNNNNNNNNNNNNNNNNNNNNNNNNNNNNNNNNNNNNNNNNNNNNNNNNNNNNNNNNNNNNNNNNNNNNNNNNNNNNNNNNNNNNNNNNNNNNNNNNNNNNNNNNNNNNNNNNNNNNNNNNNNNNNNNNNNNNNNNNNNNNNNNNNNNNNNNNNNNNNNNNNNNNNNNNNNNNNNNNNNNNNNNNNNNNNNNNNNNNNNNNNNNNNNNNNNNNNNNNNNNNNNNNNNNNNNNNNNNNNNNNNNNNNNNNNNNNNNNNNNNNNNNNNNNNNNNNNNNNNNNNNNNNNNNNNNNNNNNNNNNNNNNNNNNNNNNNNNNNNNNNNNNNNNNNNNNNNNNNNNNNNNNNNNNNNNNNNNNNNNNNNNNNNNNNNNNNNNNNNNNNNNNNNNNNNNNNNNNNNNNNNNNNNNNNNNNNNNNNNNNNNNNNNNNNNNNNNNNNNNNNNNNNNNNNNNNNNNNNNNNNNNNNNNNNNNNNNNNNNNNNNNNNNNNNNNNNNNNNNNNNNNNNNNNNNNNNNNNNNNNNNNNNNNNNNNNNNNNNNNNNNNNNNNNNNNNNNNNNNNNNNNNNNNNNNNNNNNNNNNNNNNNNNNNNNNNNNNNNNNNNNNNNNNNNNNNNNNNNNNNNNNNNNNNNNNNNNNNNNNNNNNNNNNNNNNNNNNNNNNNNNNNNNNNNNNNNNNNNNNNNNNNNNNNNNNNNNNNNNNNNNNNNNNNNNNNNNNNNNNNNNNNNNNNNNNNNNNNNNNNNNNNNNNNNNNNNNNNNNNNNNNNNNNNNNNNNNNNNNNNNNNNNNNNNNNNNNNNNNNNNNNNNNNNNNNNNNNNNNNNNNNNNNNNNNNNNNNNNNNNNNNNNNNNNNNNNNNNNNNNNNNNNNNNNNNNNNNNNNNNNNNNNNNNNNNNNNNNNNNNNNNNNNNNNNNNNNNNNNNNNNNNNNNNNNNNNNNNNNNNNNNNNNNNNNNNNNNNNNNNNNNNNNNNNNNNNNNNNNNNNNNNNNNNNNNNNNNNNNNNNNNNNNNNNNNNNNNNNNNNNNNNNNNNNNNNNNNNNNNNNNNNNNNNNNNNNNNNNNNNNNNNNNNNNNNNNNNNNNNNAAUUCCUUAAUUGAUGGUCUUUGCAUUUCAGACCAAUUCAAGGAAGCUUUGGCCUUGUUGAAAGAAAUGGUGGGGAGGAACAUAUCCCCUGAUGUUUUUACCUUCAAUAUAUUGAUCGACACUCUUUGUAAGAAAGGACUGGUUUCAAAUGCAGAGAAUAUAAUCAAAAUAAUGAUUCAAAGAGGGAACCUACCGUUGUCACUUAUAGUUCAUUGAUGGAUGGAUAUUGUCUAGGCAGCCAAAUUGAUAAGGCUAGAAAGCUAUUUGAUCUGAUGGUGACCAAUGAAAUAGCUGACAUUUUUAGCUACAACAUUUUGAUCAAUGGAUAUUGUAAGUGCAAAAUGAUAGAUGAUGCAAGGCAGAUUUUUGAUGAAAUGUCUCAUAAAGGUUUAGUUCCUGAUGCUGUUACUUAUCAUACUCUUAUAAAGGCUAUGUUUCAAGCAGGGAGGCCCCAAACUGCAAAAGAGCUCUUUAAGGAUAUGUGCUCUCAUGGUCAACAGCCAAAUAUAGUAACCUUCUCAAUUAUGAUUGAUGGCUUGUGUAGACAGGGGAAUCUCGACGAGGCACUCACCCUAUUGAAAGCAAUGGAGAAAAGUCAGUUGAAGCCUAAUUUUGUAAUCUAUAGCAGUCUGAUCAAUGGUAUGUGCAAAGUUGGGAAGAUUAAUGAUGCCAGGGAACUUUUUUCUAGUCUUUUUGAAAUUGGUUUACAACCUGAUGUUUAUGUAUAUAAUGCAAUUAUGAAAGGACUCUGCCAACAAGGAUUAAUGGAUGAAGCGUAUAAGGUAUUUAAAGACAUGGAAAAGGUAGGAUGUUUACCAAAUAAUUGUUGUUAUAAUAUCAUCAUUCAAGGGUUUCUCAGGCAUGAGGAUUUACCAAAAGCAUCCGAACUAAUCAACGAAAUGGUUGAUAAGGGGUUCUCUGCUGAUGAUGCUACCACAGAAUUGGUAGUACAUUUAUCGCGGAAUAAUAAUCUCAUUCUGAGGCUUUUAAAGGUGCGCAAUGAGGGAUCAACAAACUAAAUUUGUUAUAUCUUGACCAUUCAAGUGUAUCUUGGAGCACAACUUGGUAAUUACCUUUUUCAAAUAUAAUAGAUAUGUAAUUUAACUAACUUCUUCAAAUAUCAUUUUUAAUUUCAAUCAGCUGUGAUUCUCUUCCACAAAACGAAAAUUUCUAACGCUGCAAAUUACCUGUGGUGGAAACCAUGAUAUGUGUGUGCCUUUCGCUUGAAUUCAGACAUGGACUAGAUUUCUUUGAUAUAAGAUUGUUGAUGAAUGGAGGUCAUGGAUUUCUAAUCAUCAAGUUGCUGGUAAACCCACCAUCUCCAUUACAAUUUUUUUUUGGCUGCUACUACAGCCUUUACUCGAGAGCUCAGUCCUAAAAUUUAUUUGAGAACUAAAACUAAUUGGUUCCAUACUACAAUGCCUAAGAAUCUUUAUCUAUUUAUUUUUGUGCUCAAUGACCUUUCAAAAUGCUAUCAUUUCUCUUGUAGGUACUUGCAAGGAUAUGACUACAACUUCACCUUUCUAACCAUAAAGGUAUAAGCAAUUCAUUUUUGCUUAGUUAUUAUAAUUUUUAAUAAUAAUGAAAGUAAUGAUUAUAAACCAGUGUGCUGUAAUUGAGAAUUGAUUUAACAAUUAGACUACACUAUAAAUGCAGGGUGCAAGAUAUACAGUCUCAGAGUACAAGGUAAGAGAAUCACUAGACUUCUACAGCUGUUGGUUGGAUGAAAUGUCACUAAAAUUAUACACAACAGAAAAUGUUAUGGGAAUUGAGGGAAAAGCAAACAUCCUCUUUGUCACCUUUUUUUUUUUCUAGUCAUCAAGUUGGGUAUAUAUAAAUAUAGAUCCUUAAUUUCUUUAAUUUUCCUUCAAAUCAAAUUAGUGAAAUCAUUGCAUUAGCAUCUAAUAAUAUGAAGUUCACAAUCUUUUCCAAUGAAAUCAAUUUUUUAGCAUGAAAAUUUGAAUUUUAGAAAUGCUUGUGGAAGCUAUGUAUAUAUAUUCUUCCCUUUGAGAUUCUUUACUUUGUGCCAAGUUGAUUGGAUGUGUAACUGGCGAUUAAAUGUUGAUAGUUUAUAGCAAUAGCUAUCAAAUAAAGCGAGUCCAUUUUAAGGAUAUGAUUAAAUCACUUUGCUUGGCCUAAUGCAACUAUUUUCUAACUGCUUUCUAAAUUAACCAAACCUCUAUUGUAUGAUUUGUAUCCUGCUGAAGCCAAGGUACAAGUGUAGUGGUUGAGAAAUCUGCCAUUUUUUUUUUUAGUUUUUUGUUUGACAGAAAAUCUAACAAUUUAAGUGGUUGAAACUGUUGAAUCUUGUGAUAGUAAAUUAUUUACAAUUGCUGUAUAUUAAGGAAAAUUACUUAGGAAAUCAUCUCUGUAUAAGAUAUCUUUAUCGUAUUAUAUAAUAAUAAUAGAAUCAAAUAUGAUCAUUUUGUCAAUAUGGUAUAUAACGGAUAUAUUUUAGUGUUGGACCACCAUUUGAGUUAUUUGUAUGGUGCAUUUUGCGAUACUUUUAUGUGGUGGUAUGAAUGUGAAACGCAUUGUUUCUUACUGUUUGAGAUGUUAGUUAAGUUAGGCAAGAAAAGUUAUUUUGGUUGUUUCUUUUCUCCUUUCAGCAGUAUAUAAUUAGACAUGUUAUGUUUUUACCACUUUCUAAACCUUGUAAUAUACUCGAUAAAAUUUUCUUUGGGCUCUUGUUUGUACAUGGUAUUGUUCUUUUUGCUUAAUGCAUCAUUCUUGAAGUUUUUGUGACUGCAUCCAUGGGAAAUGGUUUGUUAGAGAAGGUGGGGCUGACAGGGUACAUAUUGAGAGGUAGGAAACCAAUUGCAAAAUGAUUCAGAUCCUUCUACUCUUCAAAACUCAGAUAAUCCAAGUAGGAUUCUCAUAUCUGCACCGUUAAAUUUAGUAAAUUAUUCGACUUGGAGUAUGUCUAUGACUAUGACACUUACUUUAAAGAAAGAUUUGGGCAACUUAUACACCAAUUAAAGAAAGAAAUAAGUAGUUUCAGUCAAGAAUCUAUAUGAGUUGUUGUUUACUUUACAAAAUUGAAGAAACUAUGGGAUAAACUUGGUGUUUUAAAGCAUCAUUAAAGAGUAGGUUGAAUAUGAGUUUGUUUUUAGUAUAAUUCUAUGUUCAGCCUCCUCAUUCUUAAAAGAAAAGUUAGGAAGUUAGAAAGUUGGGAGUGGAGGAAAGAGUUUCAUAUAGAUUUUGUGACUUUUGGAANNNNNNNNNNNNNNNNNNNNNNNNNNNNNNNNNNNNNNNNNNNNNNNNNNNNNNNNNNNNNNNNNNNNNNNNNNNNNNNNNNNNNNNNNNNNNNNNNNNNNNNNNNNNNNNNNNNNNNNNNNNNNNNNNNNNNNNNNNNNNNNNNNNNNNNNNNNNNNNNNNNNNNNNNNNNNNNNNNNNNNNNNNNNNNNNNNNNNNNNNNNNNNNNNNNNNNNNNNNNNNNNNNNNNNNNNNNNNNNNNNNNNNNNNNNNNNNNNNNNNNNNNNNNNNNNNNNNNNNNNNNNNNNNNNNNNNNNNNNNNNNNNNNNNNNNNNNNNNNNNNNNNNNNNNNNNNNNNNNNNNNNNNNNNNNNNNNNNNNNNNNNNNNNNNNNNNNNNNNNNNNNNNNNNNNNNNNNNNNNNNNNNNNNNNNNNNNNNNNNNNNNNNNNNNNNNNNNNNNNNNNNNNNNNNNNNNNNNNNNNNNNNNNNNNNNNNNNNNNNNNNNNNNNNNNNNNNNNNNNNNNNNNNNNNNNNNNNNNNNNNNNNNNNNNNNNNNNNNNNNNNNNNNNNNNNNNNNNNNNNNNNNNNNNNNNNNNNNNNNNNNNNNNNNNNNNNNNNNNNNNNNNNNNNNNNNNNNNNNNNNNNNNNNNNNNNNNNNNNNNNNNNNNNNNNNNNNNNNNNNNNNNNNNNNNNNNNNNNNNNNNNNNNNNNNNNNNNNNNNNNNNNNNNNNNNNNNNNNNNNNNNNNNNNNNNNNNNNNNNNNNNNNNNNNNNNNNNNNNNNNNNNNNNNNNNNNNNNNNNNNNNNNNNNNNNNNNNNNNNNNNNNNNNNNNNNNNNNNNNNNNNNNNNNNNNNNUUAUAUACAACUCUCAAUAAGAAUAUUUUAUUAUUUUAUGUAGUUAUUAAUUAUAUAAUUUUAAUUAAAAAAUAUAUGUAUAAUUAAUAUAUAAAAAUAUAUUAUAUUACUAAUACGUAAUUUAGUCAUAUAAUUAAAAACUACAAAAUAAUUAAUACAUUUAUAGUUGAUAUAAAAAAUAUACACAUAGAUAUAUACGUAUAUAUAAUCUAUUUAGGUAGAAUACACUAAAAUUAAUUAAUUAAAUUAUUUAAUUAUAUAUUUAAUAACUAAUUAAAAUAUAUGUUUAUUUUUUAAUAUCAUAGCAGCCGAAACCUGAUAUAAUUUGCUUAAUUAUUUUGAAAAUAUUUUCUAUUUAUUAUGAUCUUUCACUCUUUCAUCCUCCACAAUUUACAAACAGUUACAAAUUUAUUUAUAAAUGUUAAGAGUUUCACAAAUGGACACAACAAAAACAGUUUCUUUUCACGAUUCUAUAUUCGUUUGUACAUUUAUUUAUAUCUCGAUAAUUUUACAAAUAACUUAUAUAUUCGAUUAUAAAUAUGUUUGUAGUAAUUUAAUUUUACAAAUCAAUUAUACAUCCAUUUGUAAAUUUAUAUGUUCUUUUAAUUUUAUAAAAAACGUUUGUAAAUUCGUGUGUAUUCAUUUAAUUUCAUAAAUGAAUUAUAAAUUCAUUUACAUAUCUAUUUAUGUCUAUUUAAUUUUAGAAUGGUUAAACUUCCGUUUGCAAAUCUGUAUAUGUCCAUUUAAUUUUACAAAUAAAUUAUAAGUCCAUUUGUAAAUUAUUCUAUGUCCAUUUAAUGUUACAAACAACUUAUAUAUUGGUUCGUAAAUUUAUUUGUAGCCGUUUAAUUUUUUAAAAAAAUUAUUAUUUAGUUCUUAUGAUAUGAUAAAAUUUAUUAGUUGAUCCCUUUAUUUUAAAAAAUAAAAUAAAACAUUCUUGACAUUUUAAAAAGUCUAUUAGUUAGUCUCUCCAUUAAUUUUAGCCGUUAAGUAUUUUAAUGUUUAGUUCUUAUGCCUUGAAAAAUUUAUUAGUUAGUCCUGCAACUUUUUAAAAAGUCUACUAAUUAGUCUCUCUGUAUCAGGGGCAUUUUAUAAUUUUUUGCAAUACUUAGGGGUUAAAAAUAACAGAAUGAUCAAUUAGUAAAUUUUUUUAAAACGUCAGGAAUAUUUUAAUGUAUUUUCAAAACAGAGGAACCAACUAGUGAGUUUUGUCAUACUAUAGAGACUAAAUAAUUAAUUUUUCUUAAUUUUACAAAUCAAUUACAUGUUUGAUUGCAAAUUCGUGUCUUUUAAAUUUUACUAAUGAUUAUACUUUCAUUUGCAAAUUUGUGUGUACAUUUAAUUUUAAAAAUGGAUUAUAAGUCUGUAGCAAAUUCUUAGGUGUCUAUUUAAUAUUACAAAUGGUUUACACAUAUGUUGUGAGUUUAUUUAUGACCAUUUAAGUUUACAAAUGGUUUAUACAUCCAUUUGCAAAUUCGUGUAUAUCUUUUUAAUUUUACAAACAGUUGGAUUUUCAUUUGCAAAUUCUUAUGUGCCCAUUUAAUAUGGAUUAUACAUCCGUUUGUGAAUCUUUUUAUAAAUAUAAUAUAAGUUUGUUUAUAAAUUCAUGUAUAUCCAUUUAAUUUUAUAAACAGUUUAUAUAUUCGUUUAUAAAUAUGUUUGUGAUGAUUUAAUUUUACAAAUGAAUGACACGUCUGUUUGCAAAUCUGUGUGUCAUUUUAAUUUUAUAAACAGAUUAUAAGUUUGUUUGCAAAUCCAUAUAGGUCCAUUUAAUUUUUCAAACAGAUUAUAGGUCUGUUUGCAAAUUCUUUUCUGUCCAUUUAAUUUUACAAAAGAUUUACACAUCUAUUUGUAAAUAUGCUUGUGACCAUUUAAUUUUAUAAACAAAUUACAAGUCUGUUUUGCAAAUCCUUCUAUUUACAUUUAAUUUUAUAAAUUAAUUAGAUGUCCAUUUGCGAAUCGUUUGUAUACAUUUAGUUUUACAAACAGAUUGCAUGUCCUUUUGAGAAACUAGAUUUAUCUAUUUAAUUUUAUUAACAAAUUAUACGUCUAUUUGUGAAACUGUUUGUAUUCAUUUAAUUUCCUCUUGCUAAUAAUCUAAUCUUUCUCCCAAUGUUCAAAAUUAAAAUAAUCAAUCAUUUCUUCAUCAGCAUGCCUUUAAUCGACCCACCCCAUCUUUUUUAGUGAAUCUGACCUCCUCAUAGAUCCAUCGAUAAUUAAGAGCACUUGAGUAGUUCCACUGACUAGAAGCACCACUCAGAUCCACCUAUAGAUAUUUUGUUCGGAUAAUUUUCACUACAAAAAAUUUUUGAAUUAUCAACAGAUUUUAUUAAUAUGGUAAUUCGCUAACAAUUUCAAUCUGUUAGUAAAUUUAGGGGUGUAAAUGAAUUAAAUUGUUUUUGAGCUAUUUGAGAUUCGGCUUGAUAAAAACUCGACCGAACUUGACUCGAUUUCUAUACAACCCAAACUUAAACUUAAUUUUUAGGCUUAUUUAGUAAACUAGUCAAGCUUAAACUCUAUAGUAUUCGGCUGGUGAACUUACUCAUUUUCGAGUUCAUGAGCAUGCUCGUGAACAGUUUCGUUAAGCAGACUGAGAUUAAUAUCAUAAGAGAAAUAAAUUCAAAUCAUAUAUAUACUUUUAUGAGCUAAAUUUAAAUUUUCUAAAGUUAUUAUAAGAAAUUUUUGGAUUUUCAACAGAUUUUAUCGUUAAUCUAUUGGUACUUUUAACAGAUUUCUAACGAAUUUGAAAAUUUAUUGGUAAUUGUUAAUUGAAAAAAUUGUGUAAAAAUUCACUAACAGAUUUAAAAUCCCUUGGUAUUACUAACAGAUUUAAAAAUUCGUUGGAAAUUUAUAAAUUUAUAAAAUAAUUGGUGUUGAAAUUUACUAAUAGACUUAAAAUCCAUUAGUAAAACCGUUAGUAAUUCACUAACAAUUUCAAUCUGUUAGUAAAUUUAAUGGUGUAAAUGAACCAAACUGUUCGUGAUCUAUUUGAGAUUCGAGUCGAUAAAAACUUGACUCAAUUUUUAAAUGAGUCAAACUCGAACUUAAUUUUUAGACUUGUUUAGUAAACGAGUCAAGUUUAAACUCCAUAGUAUUCGACUCGUUAAGGUUCGUGAGCAGAACUCGUUUUUGAGUUCAUGAGCAGGCUUGCAAACAAGCUCGUAAACAAUCUCGUUAAACAAACUGAGAUUAAUAUCAUAAGAGAAAUAAAUUCAAGCUCUGCAUAUAUUUUCAUGAGCCAAAUCUAAAUUUCUUAAAGUUCAGCUCUAUAUAGUUUAAUUAUACUUUUAAAACUUGCAUAUAUUUGGAUCAUUAAGAGCUCAUCUUUAUAAAUUUACGAGCUAAUUUGUAUAUUUAUUUAUUUAGUUUUAAAUUAAAAAGUACUAUAUAUGUAAAUAAAUUGAACUAUUUGUGAACUAUUUGAAACUAAACUCGAUAAAAACUCGACUCGUCUAAAUUCGUUUGCUAAACGAGCUAAAUUUGAACUUAUUAAUACUCGGCUCAAGUUCGAAAGGAAUAAAACUCAAGUUCAGCUCGAACUGAAACAAAUUUUAACGAACCAAACUUGAAAUCUUCAAAAGUUAGUGCUGCUCGGUUCGUUUGAACCCUAAGUAAAUUUUAAAAAGUGUUUAAAAUACUAACAAACUCUAAAUCCGUUGGUAAUUUGCCCAAAAAAUUACUAACGAAUUUAGAAAUUUGUUUCUAAACUUUAUCAAUAAAUUAAUAAAUAAAAGAAAAAUGUUGAAUUUAUCAACAGAAACUAUCCGCUAGUAAAUUCAUUGGUAAAUUUAAAAUAAAAUCAUGUAUAAAACAUUUGCGUUCUUUUUUUACAACUCACAACUUUCAGUUACCAACGGAUUUAUUAACAGAUUUUAAAUCCGUUGAUAACUUUUAGAGAGAAAAAAGUUACUUUUUUUUAAAAAAAUUAAUAACAAAUUACAAAUUUAUCAGUAAUUCGUUUGUAAAUGUUACACCAGCUCCUAUACUUAUAUCAUUCAUUCAUUUUAUCAUUUUUCUUUCUUACAUUUUCUUUCUCUUUCUCUCAUUUGCUUUAUUUUUCAACUACUUUCUUUCAUUUCACUUUUUUUAUCUCAUAAAUUUUUUUCUUUUUUCUAUUAUUUUCCUAUAAUCACUUAUCCUAUUUUCUCUUGUUCUCUUUCCUCUUCUAUUAUUUUCUUCAUUCUUCAUAAUUUCCUUUCAUUUUCUCCAUUUUUUUCAUUUUUUUUCUUUUCUUUUCUCCAAUUUUCUUCCUUGUCUCUAUAAUUUUCGUUUAUAUUAGUUUUUCUAAUAUUAUUUUCUUCUAUCAUUUUCUUUCUAUUUAUAUUUUUUUCUAUUAUUUUCUCUUUAUUUAUUUUCUUCUCUAAUCAUUUGUUUACUUUUAUUCAUUUCUCUAAUCAUCUUUACUCUGCACUCAUUCUUUCUUCUUUUUCAUAAUUUUUAUUUUUCUAUUAUUUUCUUUAUUUUUCUCUUUUUUCUUUCUUUUUUCUUAUUUCCUCUCAUUUUAUACAAUUUACUUUUCUCUUAUUUUCACUUUCUAUGUAUUUUUAAUAAAUAUUAGACAUAAAUUAAAAUUUAAUAACAAUAAUAAUAUAAUUUUAAGUCUUAUUAAAUUAAUAAAAAAUUAUUAAACUCUCAAUAGAUUUACUAACGGAUUGAAAUCCGUUUGAUGGGUAUUGAUGAUAAAGGAUUAUUUAGAGUCUGUCAGGAGGUUUAACCAAUAUUGUUUAGCUAAUACCAUAUAAGAGAAAGAUAGGUUAGAAUCCGAAAAAUCUUAUUGAAAUUUUUUAAAUAUUGAAAAGUGAGUCGCUAAUAGCCAACGAAAACUAUUUAUAAAAAAAAAUCUUAAUAUGUAAAAUUGUAAAAAUAUUUUAAAAAAUAAUUAAAAUGUAAAAUUAAUCACUCAAACGAUGAAAUUUUUAUCUAGUCUCCAUGCUUGCCACUAUCACAAUUUAUUUUGUAUUGAAAAACCAGAAAUUUAUUUUAUCUAGUCUCCAUGCUUGCCACUAUUAAACCCAACUGAAAAUUUGGUGGUUGGAUUUGAACUUAGUUUGAUUCAUUCAAAUACUUAUUCUCAUUUUUUUUUAUUACUUUAUUAAUUGCAACCUACAUCUAUGUUUGGAAAUAGGUGCAGAGUAUUGGAGAAGAAGAGCUUAGAAUCCGGAGCUUGAUGAUGACUGCUAAGUGUGUGUUUGGAGAUGGUUUCUUUUCAGAAGCUGCGCGGGUCACAUUUGUUUUUACCUUGUUUAAUAUAUUUAUUUAUUAUUUAGUUUAUUUUUCAGUUAAUGAAUUUAAGUUUUAAAUCUAUAAGUAUGGUCCUUGGAUUCAGAAGGGAUGAGACACUUUUAAGUAUUAGUGUGUAAAAUCUAUAUGAUUACUUAAUAUUAAUUAGAUUAAUGAUCACUGAUCAACAAAAGUGAAGCAACCAAACUCAUGUAAAUCUUAUUUUUUUAGCAGAGUGUAGUGCUCCAAAUCAGGUAGGUGUUCAUGUGACAGGUAUUUUACAGUCUCAUUAUGGUGUAGUAGUUAGAGGUGUAAAUGAACCGAACUAUUUGUGAGUUACUCGAUCUUUGCAUUGAUAAAAAUUUGACUGGACUCAAUUCGAUUUAUAAACGAGUCAAGAUCGAGCUUAAUUUCUAAGCUCGUUUAGUAAACCAGUUAAACUUGAACUCCAUAGUAUUCAGCUCAUUAAAACUUGUGAACUCAGCUCAUUUCUGAGUUUAUAAGGAGACUCGCGAAUAGGCUCGUGAACAGUUUCCUUAAAUAGAUUGAGAUUAAUAUCAUAGGAGAAAUAAACUCAAAUAUUAUAUAAACUUUCAUGAGCCGACUUAAGUUUUCUAAAGUUCAAUAUUUUUACUCGUUAUUAAUUCAAUAUUUAUGUUAAUUCAAAAUUUUUAUGUUAAUUCAAUAUUUUCAGUCUUUAUUAAUUUUAGCUAAUCUUAUUAAUUUUUAUUAAUUUAUUCAAUAAUUUUAAUAAUUUUGUUAUUUUUAACAAAGUUUCGUGUUGAUAUAAAAAAAUAAAAUAUUUAAUUUUUUAUUAUAACCAUUUCUUUUUUUUAAUCGAAGAUAACCAUUUCAACAUUCUGUAUGAAAAAUUUAGAGAAUUAAUUAAAUGUGAAUAUUGCAUAUAAUUUGUGAUAAUCUCUCCCAUUUCAAACUCCUAACAAAAAAUCUACUGACCUUUAAAUUAAUUCUGCCAUUUUAAGAAACUAAAAACCAUAAAACUGAAUAAAUUUUAUCGUCAUAUCUUAUUAUUCUCAAAAUUAUAAACUUAAGCAUCACUCCAUAUUUAGCAAUUACCAUUAAUAAAUCAAAACGUAAAUAAUUAGAUAAUUAACAAAGAUUCUUCUUCACUGCCUUAAUUUGCAACUUUUUAAAACCAAUUAAAAAACUAAUCCAGCUAAAAAAACUUUGCUUAAUGCUGGAACUCCAAAUUUCAUUUGAAAAAUUCACUCGUUAUCCAUAUAUAUAAACUGAAUUUCAAACUAUUCUUUUUUGUUAUAAAAUUUCCUUUCGGAUUUUCUAACUCUCAACCUUUCUUUAACUUAAAAAAAUUUCAUCAAUAAUGCCAUCGUCGAAAGCUUCUAGUAGGAAAAUAGUUCUACUGAUCAGAAAGCCAAAACUCCACAAGUUCGAAAAGGCUACAUAGCCAUGUAUGUGGGUGACGAGAGUAAGAGAUACCAAGUUCCAGUGGAGAAUCUGAAGUUUCCAGCAUUACAAGAAUUGAUUAAACAAUCUCAGAAUGGUGAUCUCGACUCCAAGAUUGAUGGGCCAAUCGUGCUUGCUUGCACUACUGACAAGUUUGAUGAAACUUGCAAGGGGAUUCUCACGUUUGAUGAAACUUUAGAGAGUUUUGAAUAAUUCUUUUUUAUAUGAUUAAAUUAUUAAUAGGUCAUUGUAGUUUAUCAAAAUUAACUAUUCAAUCUCUAUUUCUGUAAUGACCCGGGAACCGGACCGCUACCAGCGCUAGGAUUCAGAUCGACUUAAGGUCGCCGGAACUCUUUAGCAAGCCUACUGUACUUUUUAUUGUACCUGAUAAAAUCCCAUACAUGAUCAUACCUUUACAAAAAAACUUAAACAUUUCAUGAAAUCAAGCUCAACCUGUGCAUAUAUCAUAAACUGAAACAUAAAACCCAUAUAGAGCCCUCAUCAAAUGCUACAGUAUGGUCAACAUACAUGCCUUGCUUGAAACAUAACUCAUACAUAAAACUUUUACAAUAAAAAAAAUCAUGUAAACUGGGAUUACAAGACUAUCAAUAGGGCAAAACACAAUUCUAAUCCAUUAUAACAUUACAUGUCCACAACUAUUCUAUUACCUAACUAUACCAGCUACUAUGCCGGCUCCCCGAUGCUAUCUUAGACCCUGCAAAGUCUGGGGUUAGGGGAAAUGGAUAAGUUACAAGAGCUUAGUGAGCAUAACAGUAAAAACAAUUUAAUAAACAUAUGCUCAUAUGAAAUGCGUCACAACACAAACAAAUCACCUUAAGAUGGACUUAUCACCAGUAACCCUCUACAUAUUCCAAAUAAUGUCCGGCCCUCGACGGAGCUCCUCAUAACUUCCUCUUAAACAUAACAUAACAUAUUCAACUGUGCCAGGGGCAUAGAAUGGGCAGCCCUGGUCUUCCAUAUCGUAUCAUAUCAUAACCUGCUCGAGGGCUAGUGGGUCAUCCAAUAUCCAUCCACAUCAACAGUAAAAAUGCAAUGCAUCAUAUUUGUGAAUUCUAGUGCAAGCAUCCUAAUACAUAAACAUGGCAUUCGUGAUGCAUGAACAUACUUAAAAGUUUAGUUACUUUAGAAAAUAUAGUUCAGUUCUACUCACCUCUGGCUGACGCUUUCUAAACACUGAAGCAGCUGACUCACUGCUGGCCUCUUCGGUCUCCCAAGUCCGAUCCUACAAAGAUAGACUCAAAUGAGGGACCAAACAUAACUCUAACAAGACUCUAAACAUCUCCCCCAAAACCCUCUAAAACAAUAUAAACCAUGCAUAGAAAACAAGCAAAGGAAGGCUGGAUAGGGGACUUUCGGCGGCAGGUUCGGCGGCCCAAAGUCCCUUCCAGAUUGGAAAGUCAGGGACUUUUGGGGGCGAGUUCGGCGGCCGAAGGUCUUUCACAGAUCCGAAAGUCACUAACAUUCGGGGGCAGGUUAGGCGGCCAAAGGCUGCCUCCACAAGCAGGUUCGGCGGCCGAAUCUAGGUCCUCCAGAAUGGAAGAACCCGAUUCUACUUCAUGCCCAAAGCCACCAAAACCUUCCAUUCUCACACCCAACUUCUCAAAAACAUGCAUACACUCACUCAUCAAGCAUAAGGGGCAUAAAACUAGUCUAAUCCCAACAAACAAUAACAAAAACAUCACAUAAGCAAACAUUCAUAAACAACCCAGCACAAACCCUAUAACAUUAUAUCUAACCAUUUCAUGCAUCAAAACCCUUAAACCUCUUUAAAACUUACUUAAAACAUAAGAAAAGACUAGGAUCUAUGCUUACCUCUUGAGGAACACGGUCUCCAAGCUUCCAAAACUUUGGUUUUAAGCUUAAAACUUCAAAAGCAAGGGAAAAACUCAUAAAUAUUUUGAAGGAUUUGAAGGAAAAACAACAAAAUUAACAAUGGGAGGGCAAGAACUCACCUUUGCCUGAAAAUGGGAAGGCAACAACAAACUCAUAAAUAUAUAUUCUUUUAUAUAUUAUAAUUUUACAUUAAUAUUAAUAACAAAUAAAAUUGAAAAUGUGAAAUAUAUGUAGUGAGUUUGAGCAUUUCAAAAUUUUAUUAUUUUGAAAUAAUUUUAUAUAUUAAUUUUUUUAUUACAUUAAUUAAAAUCAUAAUAUUAUCUAAAUAGAUGUCAAAAUAAAAAUGCGCUAAACAAUUCCCAUAAGAGUAAAGGUUGGUAAAAAAAAAAUAAUUUUAUUAUAUUAAAAAAAUAAUUAAUAAUAAAAAAUUAUAUAAGCUAAAAAUUAAUUAUAUUUUUCAUGAAAUUUUAUUAAUAUUAAAAAUAAAAUCAACAAUUUAUAUAACCGCCUUUAAUUAGGUAUCUACAAAUAGCACGUAGGUUAAAAAAAAUUAUUAUUACAAAAUGAUAAAUUUAAUUUGCUAUUAAAUAAUAUUUUUAUAUGAAAAUUUAAUAAAAAAUUACAAAAUGUGGUGCAUAUAAACAACAGAGUAAUGCAUUUCCUUUACCAGCAGGCAGAGAGCCUUCCUUUUCCAAUUCUCUAUUUCCUUUCCUCAUUCCCAAUCUCCGAUCCAUCCCUAAAAACAACUGACGAGAGAUCGAUGAUGAUGAAGAUGCCCUGGAGGAGGAAGAGCAGGAGCUUCCAUCUUCAGCUACAAGGGGCAAUUGGUACCAUUCAAUCUCCAUUCCUAUUCUUAUUUACCAAUUAUUGUCAUUCUUCUACUUCCACACUUGAAGAUGCACGCUUCUUGACAAAUAACUUCAAAUCUGCUUCUUUUACCCACCUUGAUGAUGCCAUUGCUUCCUUCAAUCAUGUAAUUCAUAAGCAUCCUCUGCCUUCUAGAGUUCCAUUUAAUAGAUUCUUAUCUGCCCUUGUGAAAAUGAAACAAUAUCACACUGUCCUUUCCAUGUCCAAAACAAUUGAAUUGCUAGGAAUCUCACACGAUGUUUAUUCUCUUAGCAUCUUAAUUAAUUGCUUCUGCCAUUUACACCUUGUGGAUUUUGGCUUCUCUGUUUUUGGUAAGAUGCUCAAAUUGGGAUUGGAGCCUGACGUUGUGACAUUUACUACCUUAAUUAAUGGGCUUUGUAUAGAGAGUAAAAUCGACAAAGCAGUGGAAUUUUUCGAUGAUAUGGUUGCACGUGGUUAUCCACCUAAUGUUUAUACUUACAGUGUGAUAAUAAACGGAAUGUGUAAAUUUGGGAAAACAAGUGUGGCUAUUAGGCUACUAAAGGGAAUGGCUGAUAGAGGUUGUGAGCCAAAUGUUGUGACAUACAGUGCAAUCAUUGACGCCCUUUGCAAAGAUGAGCUAGUUGGUGAGGCUUUAGAGCUCUUCUCUCAAAUGAGGAAUAAGGGCAUUUCACCUGAUGUCAUCACUUACACUGGUUUAAUUCAUGGUGUUUGCAAAUUAGGCCAAAAGAACCAAGCUUUGGCCUUGAUGAAUGAAAUGGUGGAGCAGAACAUAUCACCUAAUGUUUAUACCUUCAAUGUAUUGAUUGAUGCCCUUUGUAAGGAUGGAAUGGUUUCAGAGGCUCAAAAUACAUUCAAUGUAAUGAUUCAAAGAGGUGUAGAGCCUGAUGUGGUCACCUACAAUUCCUUAAUUGAUGGUCUUUGCAUUUCAGACCAAUUCAAGGAAGCUUUGGGCUUGUUGAAAAAAAUGGUGGGGAGGAACAUAUCCCCUAAUGUUUUUACCUUCAAUAUAUUGAUCGACACUCUUUGUAAGAAAGGACUGGUUUCAAAUGCAGAGAAUAUAAUCAAAAUAAUGAUUCAAAGAGGUGUGGAACCUACCGUUGUCACUUAUAGUUCAUUGAUGGAUGGAUAUUGUCUAGGCAGCCAAAUUGAUAAGGCUAGAAAGGUAUUUGAUCUGAUGGUGACCAAUGAAAUAGCUGACAUUUUUAGCUACAACAUUUUGAUCAAUGGAUAUUGUAAGUGCAAAAUGAUAGAUGAUGCAAAGCAGAUUUUUGAUGAAAUGUCUCAUAAAGGUUUAGUUCCUGAUGCUGUUACUUAUCAUACUCUUAUAAAGGCUAUGUUUCAAGCAGGGAGGCCCCAAACUGCAAAAGAGCUCUUUAAGGAUAUGUGCUCUCAUGGUCAACAGCCAAAUAUAGUAACCUUCUCAAUUAUGAUUGAUGGCUUGUGUAGACAGGGGAAUCUUGAUGAGGCACUCACCCUAUUGAAAGCAAUGGAGAAAAGUCAGUUGAAGCCUAAUUUUGUGAUCUAUAGCAGUCUGAUCAAUGGUAUGUGCAAAGUUGGGAACUUUUUUCUAGUCUUUUUGAAAUUGGUUUACAACCUGAUGUUUAUGUAUAUAAUGCAAUUAUGAAAGGACUCUGCCAACAAGGAUUAAUGGAUGAAGCGUAUAAGGUAUUUAAAGACAUGGAAAAGGUAGGAUGUUUACCAAAUAAUUGUUGUUAUAAUAUCAUUAUUCAAGGGUUUCUCAGGCAUGAGGAUUUACCAAAAGCAUCAGAACUAAUCAACGAAAUGGUUGAUAAGGGGUUUUCUGCUGAUGAUGCUACCACAGAAUUGGUAGUACAUUUAUCGCGGAAUAAUGAUAUGAGGGAUCAGCAAACUAAAGUUGUUAUAUCUUGACCAUUCAAGUGUCUUGGAGCGCAACUUGGUAAUAACCUUUUUCAAAUAUAAUAAAUAUGUAAUUUAACUAACUUCUUCAAAUAUCAUUUUUAAUUUCAAUCAGCUCUGAUUCUCUUCCACAAAAUGAAAAUUUCUAACACGACAAAUGACCUGUAGUGGAAACCAUGAUAUAUGUGUGCCUUUCGAUUGAAUUCAGACAUGGACUUGAUCUUUUUGAUAUAAGAUUGUUGAUGAAUAGAGGUCAUGGAUUUCUAAUGAUCAAGUUGCUGGUAAACCCACCAUCUCCUUUACAAAUUUUUUUUGGUUGCUACUACAGCCUUAACUCGAGAGCUCAGUCCUAAAAUUGAGGUUAGAACUAAAAUUAAUUGGUUCCAUACUACAAUGCUUAAGAAUCUUUAUCUAUUUUUAUUUUUGUGCUCAAUGACCUUUUAAAAUGCUAUCAUUUCUCUUGUAGGUACUUGCAAGGAUAUGAUUACAACUUCACCUUUCUAACCAUAAAGNNNNNNNNNNNNNNNNNNNNNNNNNNNNNNNNNNNNNNNNNNNNNNNNNNNNNNNNNNNNNNNNNNNNNNNNNNNNNNNNNNNNNNNNNNNNNNNNNNNNNNNNNNNNNNNNNNNNNNNNNNNNNNNNNNNNNNNNNNNNNNNNNNNNNNNNNNNNNNNNNNNNNNNNNNNNNNNNNNNNNNNNNNNNNNNNNNNNNNNNNNNNNNNNNNNNNNNNNNNNNNNNNNNNNNNNNNNNNNNNNNNNNNNNNNNNNNNNNNNNNNNNNNNNNNNNNNNNNNNNNNNNNNNNNNNNNNNNNNNNNNNNNNNNNNNNNNNNNNNNNNNNNNNNNAUCUAACAAUAUGAAGUUCACAAUCUUUUCCAAUGAAAUCAAUUCUAAUACUCUUUCGUUGUCUAAAAAGAAUGGAGGCUUAGGCGUCAAAGAUAUCUCUCUUCAAAUUCAAGCUCUUUGGAGAUUUGAAAAUCAUAGGCAUUUCUUCCCUUCAGAAAGACAUUCGAAUUGCGGGUAUGCUACUUUCGAUGAACUCUUCUCUCCUUUUAAUCAUAUCAGAUUGGCUAAUGAUAUAUUUUCUUAAUUUUAUUUAUUAUAAUUUUUUUAGAUAACUUUGAUUAAAUAUAUUCAUAUAAUAAUGUGAUAUUAAGAUAAUAGGAGCCCAAAUUGAAUAUUAAAUAACAGAUAUUAGCAAAUAAAAAGUUGAAUAUUCAAUUAUAAUGAAAAAUCAACUAAAAUGAUAUAUUUUCUUAAUUUUAUUUAUUAUAAUUUUUUUAGAUAACUUUGAUUAAAUAUAUUCAUAUAAUAAUGUGAUAUUAAGAUAAUAGGAGCCCAAAUUUAAUUGCCUAUUUGCAAUAAUAAUAAUAAUAAUAAUAAUAAUAAUAAUAAUAAUAAUAAUAAUAAUAAUAAUAAUAAUAAUAAUAAUAAUAUAUUAUAUAAAAAAAUAAUAAAGAGAUAAAACAAAAAUAACAGUAAAAUAUUAUUUAAUUUGUGAAAGUGUUAAAUUUGGUUGUAGAGAAAUAGAGUGGUGAUGAUCUGAGAUCCACUAAAAUAGGGUUUUAUAAGGAUUUCUUGUAUGGAAUCAAAAGCUUAUCCUUUUUUUUAGGGAGGGGUCUACCCUUUUAUCUUUUUCUUCCUGCUUGCUAGUGACGUGUAACGUCCUUCCUGUCAUUGGACCACGCGUCUCUGCUAUGAAGAUAUGGACGUACGAGGAUAUCAGGCAUCUGCCUCAUGCGUAACGACUUCUGAUUCUCUCCAUGCGUACACACGAGCGGAUCUGCGGGCUGGUCGACGGGUCUCGUUCUUAAUUCUGGGCUGGGCCGAGAGAGGAACUGAAUGCUGAGCCCAGGAGAUGGAGAUGGAGAUCUGCAUGUGAGGUCAUGCGAGCCGGGCUGAUCUGGGUGAAGAGUCCUGGUGGAGUCCGGCCUCAAGGGUUGAAUGAGACGGGCCUGCUUCAUUUAUAUGGCAUGUGGGCCUUCCUUUCGUGGGCUAUGGCCGUGGUCUAGGCCCAUAAUCGGGGUGGAGAAAUCCAGCGGUCAUCAAUUGCCCCUUUACCUUCUCGGCAGUUAUUGCUCGACUGUCGAGGGGGUAAAUACCAAGAACCAUUAUGACCGCGUCUGUUCGGAUGCAGAUGCCUUUAUAACACCCUUUCAUCUUAUUGCCACUUCUCAGUUUUUGAAUCUGGUCUGCCUUUUUCCCUUUCCGGCUUUUCCUUAUUCUUCGUGUACCCUGCCAUCUUUGCUUUCCUGCCAUUAUCGUCCGGACACGCAUUUUCUUUCUUUUUCCAUGAAUAGCUUUUAAGGAUCCUGACAUUGUCAGCUUAGAGUCUAGCACCACCCUACCUUGCACUAAAACCCCAACUUUUGGGUAUAUAUUAGCAUCUCCUCCUCUUCAUUCUCAGGCACUUUGUUGGAGCAAGGAGGUCUUUCUUUCGAAUUUGUCUGUUAGAACGAGAGUUUUAUAUCUGUAGAGGGUCUAUCCGAUGCCUUCUUCAAACUAGUUAAGACGAGCUUAGGACUUCAUUACUCUGUUUCUCGUGAGGUUUGCUUCAAUCUCUCUUAUAUGAUCCUGAUAGAAUAUUAUUUUGACUUGCCCCGGUUUUGGAUUUUUUGCAGUAUCUGAGAUGAAGAUGAGUCAGUCCGAGCCUCUGGAAAAUUUUACGUUGCCCCUAGGGAGUCUGAACGUUGUUUCGGAGGUCCUCCUAGUGGGGCGAUCGAUGGGUGGGACCAUUCUGCAGGUCAUUGAAACCAUCUCGCCCAGGUCGUCCGGCCGACCUCCUCCCCUGGUUAUUGUUCGAGCUCCAAAGAGGUUCCGGGCUGCUGAGAGGUCCGCUCUGGCUUUGUCUUCUUUCGAGAAAGAAAAAGAAACUUCUACGAUGCCCCUGUUGUCCGCUCCUGAUUCAAAUAGAGGUGGUGAAAAUGAUCAGCUUAUUGCCGACUUCGGUGUGGAGUGCUUGCGUUAUGAGAGACUGAGAUCUGCUGUACUCAGUCAAGCUUCCGUCGAUGCCUUUGAAUAUAUGCUCUGCGAUCUUCCUGGAGCCGUAACUCGAAGGCUUAUGUUUUUCAUGCGUGAUAUGCGAUCAACGUAUAAUAUCUUCGCUUGUUCGUAUGCACCGUGAAUCACACUUGGGCAACAGAAUGCUCGCCUAUAACGGAACGGUGAGAAAUGCUUAUGGGAAUCAACUUGUUCAGUUCUCCUAUAAUAACAAAGUAGAGCUCGGCCGACCUGCAAAGCUCGUUUUCCUAACUACGAGAAUUCCUCUGAAUUGAAAACUAAGAUAGUGGGAUAGGUGACAGUGAUGUAAACGUAGAUGAUGAUGUAUCUGGGCAUGUAAAUCCUUUAAGGAUAGCCUUUUAUUCCGUAAUGUAGGUAUUCGUAACGUGCUGUAAUGAAAUUUUUGUUUUUCGUUCAUACUCGAGCUGUUCUUUCCCCAUCAUGAAUGAAGUAUUUAGAUUGCUUGCUUCGUAGUUUUUCCUGAGGGAUCCACUAUUGUUUUUUCCUUCUUGCCUCCUAGUUGAUCAGAACUAGAGUCCAUUUAGCCGACUGAGCUUUCGAUUUACUUUUUCCGAACUGGACUAACCGUACCCGUGAGCUCUGUUUUUAAUCAAUGAGUUGAGCUCUGAGUCCACUUAGCCAACUGAGCUUUUGGUUUACUUUUUCCGAACUGGACUAACCAUACCCAUGAGCUCUGUUUUUAAUCAAUGAGUUGAGCUCUCGACCCACAGCUUUGUAUGAUUCCGAGGCGUCCUUAUCGCUUCAUUACUACAACUUCAGGCUCGUAGCCUUUGUUUAGUGAUGAUAAAUCAAAUCCUGUACCUUCCUAGGUGAUGGGCAGGUCUGAUCUUUAUCAUGCUUCCCUCUGUUCGCGUCCUUGGAUCUUUCCCUGAUUUACCCCUUUUACCUCCUUAGUAUUUAUCGUAUGAGUGAUGAUGAGGUAAACCUUGCAUGUUGAGCCGUCCUGGGUGAGAGAUCGAAGUAGACCUCGGUCUUAAGGUUUGGACGAGUUGGGCUUGUUUUAUGUAGAUAGCGUAUGGGCUUUCGGGUGAUGGGCUAUCGUCGUGGACCUGACCCUUGAUAGAGGUGAAGAAGCCCAGCGGUCAUCCCUUUGCCCCUUUACCUUCUCGCCAGUUAUUGUCUAACUGUUGAGGGGGUAAACUUCGAGAGUAAUAAUAACCGCGCCGCUCCAAAACAAAACUGCUCAGAACAACGCUUCAUCUCAUUAUUGCCUUUCACUUCGAAUUCUCUGUGUCUUCCGAAGAAACUUGUUCUCGUCUGCUCUCUGUUUUCCUUCAACUUCUUCUGCUUUUUCCACCUUAUCGCGUUUCAGGUACGCUUCCUUAUUCCUCCAUGGAGGGUUCUAAGCUCUCCGAUGUUGCUAAUCUUGGUCGCACGUUACCUCUUCUACCAUAACUAAGUACAUUUCUAGGAGGUAUUUAGACACUCCUCUUUACCUUAUUCGGGCUCCUUUCCGAAAUGAAAGAAUAGUUCUUCUAAAUCCUCCCCCUCCUGGUUUGAUGGAUCCCCAAAGGGGUCGUUGCAUAGUCUUCUUCCUCAAACAAAGAGACUUCGGUCAGACUUUCCCUUUUACCCCUUUCUUUAUCGAGGUUUUUCGAUACUUUAGGGUAACCCCCGGAUAUUGUCUCCAAAUUCCAUUUUGUUCAUGUGUUAUUUUGAAUCUAUCUGCCUGAGUUGGGGUUUUACGCCCACGGCAUGUUUAUUCGUUACUUUCUUCCGCCUCGUCAAGGCGGUUUAGAAUUUUUACUAUUUUUCCCCCCGUGGUGGGUUGUCUCUUUUCACGGGCUACAAGGAUUCCAUAAAGGGAUGGGUAGAGAGUUUCCUUGUGGCAGAGCUGAGAAAAGAGACCGCCUUAUCGUGGGGAGUGGAGCUAGGUUGGGAGGAUGUCGCUCCGGGCUGCAACGACCUACCCCAACUAAGCCUUACUGAGCAGGUGGGGUUUCUUCGACUGACUUCUGUUGACAAGAAGUAUGACGUCGAGAAGUGUAUGUUCGUGUCUAAUCUUAGGGAUAUCCGGGACACGGGUAUAGUGUCUUGUUCAGCAAUUCUGUUUUUUCCUUGCAAAUGAUAUCGGAAAGUACGCUAACUCUUUAUAGUUUUGUGUUUUUGCAGCUUCUGACGUUAAAAUGGAUGAGAUCAAGCCCCCGAAGAACUUAGUUCUGACCCGGGACAGUAUGCAUGCCUCCUUUGAUGCUCUUCGGGCUGGGCGUCAGGUGUCUGAGGUCGCUGCAGAGGUGGCUCAGAUUGCCUCUUCUAAGAAGGUUAGCCGUCCUCCUGCUAGAUCUUCCUCUCGAGCUCCUAAGCCGAGCUCUCGCGGUACCAAAUCACUUCGGCCAUCUAGCCGUGGCAGGUCGAUCUCGACUCCUAAACCUGCUGAAGAGUCUAAGUCUGCUCAAGCUUCUACGGAAGAUGUGAGGGAAACUCCUCAAGUCAUUGUGGAGCAGACAGAGGUUAUUGAGCAAGCGAAGUUGGGUCUUGCUCAUCCUUCUGAGGAGGGGCCAGGGGGAAGUUUAAGUCCCCCAUUACCGACGAGGAGGUUCCUGGGAAGGGAAUGGAGGUCGUUCUUGGGGAGGACAAUGUCCCGACGGCUCCUAUCAAAGAUGCCCCUGCCCUUGUGGAGACUGGAUCUGGGUCUGGAGGUACCAUAGUGAAAACCGGGGACAAGCGUCCAGCCCCUCCCGAAACGUCUGCCCCAGCCCCUACUCGGAAGAAGUCCAAGGUUUCCAAAGUCUCCUCUCCAGCCCUUCCUCCCAUUGGGAAGGAGAAAGAUGUUCCUGUUGUGCCUCUGUUGUCUGCUCCUGACAAUAAUAUUUUGAACAAGGAGGACAUCACCCAUCAAUCUCCGGCCAGUGUAGUCGCCGAGAUCCUUAGAGAACGGAUGUUUGGUGGAAUUAGGGAGGCCUCGGAUCAACAUCUGCUUGCCCUCACUGGUCUUUUAGCCAGUUCUACUAAGGAGCAAGUGUCAUUCCAGUAUCGAUCUCGUGAGGAGCUCGGGAAUACAAUUAGGGAGAUGCUUCUGAUGGUAAAUCGUCUUUCUCUUUUGGUUUUCUUUAUUUCUUUCUUUUGAUGGUUGUUCUUUUGUAUUAGGUGAUGGGCCUUUUCAUAGAGGUAGACGCUCGCGACCAUUCUCUCCGGGAGUCUGUGAAUCACCGGAUUGAAAAGGCGCGCCUGGAGGAGAACUUAUCUGCUACCGGCGACGCUAGAGGCAAUCUCACAGCUGCUCGAGAGCAUACCCAGUCUCUCCAGGUGGAGUUGCACUCUGCAUUGGAGGCCCUUAAAAGAGCUGAGGGGAGGGCGGCUGAGGCAGUGGAGCACACCAAGUCCCUGGAAGUAGAGUUGUCUCAUACUCGCAGGGUUCUCAAGGAGUCUGAUGAGAGGGCGGCUGCAGCGGAGGUCCGAAGUGAAGAAGUUUUGAAGCAGUUGUCCUCUAUGGUAGAGGCCCUUCGUGAAAGGAAUGAGGCUAUAAGCCAGAAGGAGGAGGUUCAGCGCCAGUAUGAGGCCCUGAAGGCUGAUUUAGAAGGGCUUCAGGUUCACCUGGAUAAGGCGAAUACUCAAAAGGAGAGGGCCCUGGCUCGGGUCGAGGUUCUUGAGCAGGAGUUGAGCAAGAAUUCUGAACGUAUUAGAGAUAUGUCUUCAUUGGUGGAGGAGUCCUAACUUCACAGUCAACAGCUUAACCAUGAAGUCAGGACUUUAGAACGUAAAUGUUCAGCCCUGCUCAAGGUAGUCAAACAUGCUGAAGGCAAGGUCCAGUUGGAGCGUGAGAAAUGUCUAGUGGAGUACCAGGAGUCGGAGGAGCUAAAAAGAAAAAUUGAGCAGGCCUGUGAGGCUCACCUCCAAGACUACAAAGAUUCCCCUGAGUUGAAGGCAGUCAUAGCUGAGGCCUGCGAGUCACAUCUUGACGAGUAUAAGGCCUCUACGGAGAUGAAGACUGCUAUUUGGCAGAAAGCCUUUCGCAUGUACAUGACUGGCUACAACCGGGGUAUAAGAGAGGCUAGACAUGCUCCUGAUACUCCUCUGGCAGAAUUUCGAAUUGCUGAAGUGGAUUCUGAUGGCGAGCAGGUGCUAUAUGGAGAAGAUGAUUUCCCUUUGCCUAGAGGAACCUCUCGCAUUGCAGCUGGGUCAGCUGUGUCUUCUGGGGAAGAAUCCGAGCCGGACGGGGAAGACAUGGAGGCCCUCGGAUCUGAAGGAGACGACUCUGAGCCUGAGGGGGAAGACCCCGGCCCAGGGCUGGAGAUUAUGCCUUUUGUUGGCAUUGAGAAAUCUAAGCUGGAGGAUGUCAAAUCUCCUUCAGAUGCAAAUGUAAAUAAAGAUAGUGUAGGCGAGGAUAUUCUUAGAAAUGUGAGUCCCUUGAGGACUGUUUUUCCUCCGACCUCGUCUGAUAAAUAGAUUGUAAUAGCCUUUUCUCUUAAUGAAAUUUUAAUUUCUUUUACUUGAACUACUUUUUGUUUUUCAUACAUCCUGGAAUUUAUCUCUUCUUAUCAUAAUUGGAACACUUAAACUGCAUAUCUCGUAAUUUUUCCUGAGGGGUCCUCUGUGAUGUCUUUUUCUUUUUGCCUUUAUGCCCCUCAGAACUGCGAUUCCGUCAUUUGGCUGAGCUCCUGACUUGUAGAUUUAUCUAUUUUACUAGGAUAUUUUUAUUCACAAGCUUUUUCCGAGCUAAACUAGUCUUUAGUUAUGAGUUUGGUUCUUAGCUAAUUGUUUGAGCUUAUGAGAAGUCAGAUCACAUACCUUUUAAUGGUGACUAGCAGGGCUGCCUUUUUGCUUUUAGUUCUGACUUGUCAGGGAAUAGAGUUGAAGUCUCUUCUGUUCAUAUCAUUGGGUUUCUCCCCGAGUUGCCCCUUUACCUCCUCAACAUUUCAUUACAUGAAUGGUGAGGGGUAACUCCCUAAACUUUGUAUGUGCUUGUAUGGGCUUAUUUUAGAUAAUUUUACCUUUCUUCUUGGUUAUGAGCUCGGAUGUCUAUUCAUGGCGAACUGACUCAGGUUGUGGGCAUAGUCCUUUGCUUUCAUUUAUCCUCCUAUGUGUUCCCGAGUGUUUCAUGUUGCGAGUUUAUCCGAGCUGAAAGCUCGGUCCUUUACUCUUCGCUUAGGCUUUUAUACCUAUAACCUGUGAUGCUUCUUAUACCCCUGAGUGUUUUCCGGGCUCUUUGCUGUUUUAGACCUCUCUCUAAGCUAGUUGAGCUAGUUUAGUGUCAGCGGUCACUUCUCGAGGUCUGUGCCUCUUGGCUAUUGUGGCCCGAGCUUCUUCGGGAGGUCGGAAUCUGGUUUUUCAUUGGUAGCUUUGGACUUAUCUUUCUCGUGAGAUCGGAGCUGUAUUUUUAUGAGUCGUCCCUGCAUAUGAUACUGGGAAUCUUUGCUCCGGGAGGCCCUUAAGACCUUCACCGACCGUUUUUGUUUUGUUUUUCCGGGAGAUCCCGGUCUUGUUUGUUUUUCCGGGAGUUCUUAGGGGAUCUCGGUCUUAUUUGUUUUCCCGGGAGUUCUUAGGGGAUCCCGGUCUUGUUUGUUUUCCCGGGAGUUCUUAGGGGAUCCCGGUCUUGUUUGUUUACCCAGGAGUUCUUAGGGAUCCCNNNNNNNNNNNNNNNNNNNNNNNNNNNNNNNNNNNNNNNNNNNNNNNNNNNNNNNNNNNNNNNNNNNNNNNNNNNNNNNNNNNNNNNNNNNNNNNNNNNNNNNCUUGUUUGUUUACCCGGCAGUUUUUAGGGAUCCCGGUCUUGUUUGUUUAUCCGGGAGUUCUUAGGGGAUCCCGGUCUUGUUUGUUUACCCAGGAGUUCUUAGGGAUCCCGGUCUUGCUUGUUUAUCCGGGAGUUCUUAGGGAUCCCGGUCUUGUUUGUUUACCCGGGAGUUCUUAGGGAUCCCGGUCUUGUUCCUCCAAGAGGUCUUUCUGAGCCCUGUUCUUUCUUUCUUAUGGAGGAUUAUUAUUCAUAAAAGAUAAUCUCAUUAUGUAAACAAUUUUAUUCAUUCAUGUUUGUCAGAAUACAAUGUUUUUCUUUACAAAUAUAUCAGGGGAAAUACCUCUUUAGGUGCUGAAUAUUCCAAGCGUGGAGCUCAGGGUUUCCUUGCAUAUCUUCGAUUUGGUAUACCCCUGGCUUGACCACUUUUGCUACCCUGAAUGGGCCCUCCCAGGUCGGUGCUAACUUACCCGCUGCCGCUCUUUUUCCUGUAGCUUCUAGGUUUCUCAAGGCCAGGUCUCCCACUUUCAAGCUUCUUUCUCUAACCUUUUGGUUGUAAUAUCGUGCUGCCCGUUGUUGGUAAGCGGCAGUUCGGACUUGAGCUUCUUCCCUAAUUUCUUCGAGAGCGUCCAGAUUGCUUUUUAUUUUGUCAUCAUUAGUGUUCUCACUAACAAAUUGGACCCGAUGAGUGGGGAUCUGCAAUUCGAUUGGGACUACAGCCUCUGUGCCGUAAGCAAGUGCAAAGGGUGUUUCUUUAGUGGGCCUUCUGGGGGUGGUUCGGAGUGCCCACAGGAUACUGUUGAGUUCUUCCGCCCAAUUCCCCUUUGCCCCAUCCAGCCGUUUCUUUAAUCCUUGGAGGAUAGCUCUGUUGGUAACCUCUGUUUGACCGUUAGUUUGAGGAUGGGUCACGGAGGAGAAUUUGUGCCAGAUGCCCAUGUUCGUCGUAAAUGCUCUGAAGGUGCUGCAAUCAAAUUGUCUACCAGUAUCUGAGAUAAGCACUCUUGGUAUGCCAAAUCUGCAGAUGAUAUGUCCCCACACAAAAUCUAUCAUCUUGCGAGCUGUGAUCGUGGCUAUUGCUUCCGCCUCUAGCCAUUUUGAGAAGUAUUCUACAGCCAUCACUACGAAUUUUCUCUGCCCCGUGGUCUUGGGGAAGGGUCCCAGGAUGUCUAUUCCCCAUUGCGAGAAUGACCAUGGACUGGAUAUGCUGGCUUGAGGAGUGGCUGAGACUUUGAUGGCGUUAGCAAAUCUUUGGCAUACGUCGCAUCUUUGGACAAACUCUUCUGCUUCUCUUUUAACAGUGGGCCAAUAGUACCCUUGCCUGAAUAUUUUAUUGGCUAAUGUCCCUGCUCCCUCGUGGGCUCCACACAUGCCUCUAUGUAUCUCUUCCAUCACCUUCGCAGCCUCUUUCGGGCUCACACAUCGGAGCCACGGACUGGAUUUUCCUUUUCUAUAUAAGGUUCCCCUUAUUGCUUGGUAGUUGGCGGCACGAGCUGCUAUCUUUCUGGCUUCAUCUUUAUCCUCGGGAAGCUUGCCCUUUUCCAGGUAUUCUAGGUAUGGGGUCAUCCAAGUUGGGUUUUGUUCUACUUGCAGUACCGUGUUUGUCUUAUUAAAAGCAGGUAUAUGGACAUGCUGUAUGUACACUUCAUCGGGGAGUUGUUCUAAUUCUUCUUUGGACAAUCGACUAAGCAGGUCUGCUUCCUCAUUUUCCUCUCGAGGUAUUCUUUGAAAUCUGAUGGUAACUCCUCGACUUGUGAGCUCGGCUUCUAAAGUUUUUACUUUAGCCAGAUAAUUCUGCAUGAUGGGGUCUCUAGCCUGAUAUACCCCUGUUACCUAGUUGAUCACCAGCUGAGAGUCGCUAUUUACCUCGAGAUCGGUUACCCCUACCUUCAGAGCCACCAACAUCCCAUUUAUCAGGGCUUCAUAUUCUGCCACAUUAUUAGAGGCCUUAAAUUCUAGGCGUAAGGCGUAGCAUACCUUAAAAUCCUCUGGUCCCUUAAGCAUUAUUCCAGCACCACUGUCCCCGGUGCCUUGCUCCGUCUACAUACAACUUCCAGUUAAAUUCUUGGGAAGGCUCUCCCUUACCUCCCUUUCCUGAUAUCUCUGAGGAUGAUCCUCCCCGCUCCUCAUUGAAUGUGCACUCUGCUAUGAAGUCAGCCAGAGCUUGAGAUUUUAUAGCUGUCCGAGGUCGAUACUCUAGAUAGUAAGGGCUGAUUUCUACGGACCAAGCCAACAUCCGACCUGAAGUUUCCGGCCUGCGUAGAAUCUUCUUCAAGGGUUGGUCUGUCAUCACAACUCCUUGGUGGCCUUCCAGAUAAACUUUGAAUUUUCGGACUGCUAGUAAUAGAGCGUAAGCCAUUUUUUCAAUAUUUGAAUAUCUGACCUCAGUAUCUCUGAGUACCUUGCUAACAUAGAAAAUAGGUUUUUGCUCCCCUUCUUCUACCCUUACUAAUAUUGCGCUGACUGCUUGUUCCGAGGCUGCCAGGUAUAUCAGAAGCUCUUUUCCUUUCAUGGGACUACUGAGCACGUGAGGCGAGCUGAGAUAUCUUUUAAGCUCUAUGAAAGCUUUUUGGCAGUCUUCUGUCCAUUCGAAGUUUGGUACCUUCCUUAACUUUUUGAAGAAUGGUAAGCACUUUUCUGCCGACCUUGACAUGAAUCGAUUAAGCGCCACUACUCUCCCGAUUAGUCUCUGGACGUCCCUUACACAGGUCGACUCUGGCAUAUUCAAUAUGGCUUCUAUCUUCUCCGGGUUGGGCUCGAUGCCUUUUUCGCUCACCAUGUACCCCAAGAAUUUUCCUCCCCUAAUGAAGAAGGCACAUUUUGCUGGGUUCAACUUCAUUCUGUACUGAUCUAAUACUCUGAAUACCUCCCCCAAAUCUGCUAUGUGCUGUUGGAAAGUUGGGCUCUUGACCACCAUAUCAUCUACGUAAACUUCUACAUUUCUGCCGAUUUGAUUUUUGAAGAUUUUAUUCAUCAAUCUUUGGUAAGUUUCCCCGGCAUUCCUCAAUUCGAACGGCAUAGCUCUAUAGCAGUAAGUCCCAUCUUCAGUUAUAAAUGAGGUCUUUUCCUCAUCCGUGAUAAGCGGUUGUCGAAGCCGUCAAAAAUAAACAUAUUCUCAAUCAACAAAAUAAUUUGCAGAUAGUGGCAAUAGGGUCGAAUCACAGGGAAUUGACACUACGGAUUUUCCUAAUAAUGACUUGGUCAAGUAAAUAACAAAUAAUUAAAAGAGGGGGUUUUGAGUUGAUGAUAAUGGAUUAAAACUAAAUAGCUAUAUAAGAAUUUCAAUAAGAGAAAAGCUUCUAGUUGAAAUAUGGAUCUUUUUCAGAUUGUUUAGAAUUGAUCAUUGAUUCUUUAAUACUCCUAUUUAUCUCAAUAAAUUAGUUUAGCAUGUGGAAGACGCUUCUCACAAUCCAAAUUCCUCCUUAGUUCUAGUUUGAUUAGGAAAGUUCACUAAUCAAACACUAGUUAACAAGUUGCCAAGGAACGUCCUUGGGGCCUUUGGCAUCGAACAACUGUUGACUGCAUUAAGACUUAGAGAAACCCAAUUCUAUCCUUGCCAACCGCGUGGUCAAAUUUAGAUUAUGCAAUUUGAUUAAAUGUGUAUUUGAACAACCUAAGCAAUUACGGACCUAAAUCAUUCAAAUAAUAUUACUUAAGCAAUUUAAAAGCAAUGGGCCCUUAUUGAUUCUAAAAGCAAAGUAAUAAUUAUAGAAAGCUCAAAUUGCAUAAAUAUUGAAAAUAAAUAGAAGUUUAACAAUGGAGAUUUAAAUCUCCCAAUUCAUCACAAAAUCUGAAAUUCACCAACUUCAACUAGAAAAGAAUGAAUUUAGCCACUCAUGGUGGACUAAAUACACAAAAAGAUGAAAAGAAAAGAAAGAGGAAAGAGGCUGCAGAGUUUCUGGCGAGGGGAGAAGAUGCUGAGUAGCUGAUCAGAAGAUGAUGCUCCUUGCUGGUUUGGAGGUUGCUCUUUUAUAGCUGAAGAAUUCCAUCCUUCUAGGGUUUUGAAAUCCCUUUUUAAUUUGGCUUGUGAUUCCUCUUUUGAUAUUGAAUUUAAUUGCAACUGGAAUUCCUUAGGUGAGAAACUCUUUCGUGGCUCUUGGAAUUGUGUUGGUAGUGAUUGAGUUGGAUUUGGACUUCUGAAAAAUCGAAAUUUGGUUCCCUGCUGUUUUCCCGCUUCUGCUGUCAAUUUUGCUGUCAAUGUGAUCGGGGCAGUGAUUUGGGCAAAUCACUUGGUCCAUCUGCCCUGAUCACUUUCUGCAAUUCUGUCCAGUUUCAGUUUCUGCCCCUGCGAGUGAUUUGACCAGUUUCUGCGAGUGAUUUGGGCAAAUCACUUGCCCAUAUCACUUCUGCCUGUUGCCUCCAGGUUUCUGCUUCAGCUUGAUCUGGACAGUGAUUUGGGCAAAUCACUGACCCAAUCACUUUUCUGUCAAUUUUCUGCACUUUUUCUCCAUUUUUCCAAUUUCUUCAUUUUCUGUAAAAACAAGAUAAAAAUCAUAAAUUAAGCUAAAAAAAUGUGUAAAUAAGCAAUAAAAAAGAUAAUAAAAAUGUGGCUAAUUUAUGCUUGAUCAAUCCGACCUAUCCAUUGGGAUUUGAUGAUAACCAGACAUAGCAUCCAAAGAAGACAUAUAAUCGAAACCGGCCGUAGAGUCGACCAUUUUAUUAAUAUCAGGGAGGGGAUAACAAUCUUUAGGGCAGGCCUUAUUCAGGUCAGUAAAAUCUAUGCACAUCCUAUAUUUGCCAUUGGCUUUUUUGACUAAUACAGGAUUUGCUAACCACUGCGGGUACAUAACUUCCCUAAUAAAGCCUGCCUCCUCUAGUUUCUGCACUUCCUCCCUGGUGGCCUACUGCUUCUCUCUUCCUACUACCCUCUUCUUCUGCUUUACUGGCUUGGCCUCGGGGAGGACAUUCAAUUUGUGUGUCAUUACCUCAGGAUCGAUUCCAGGCAUGUCGGAGGGCCUCCAGGCGAAACUCGACGCGUGACCUCGGAUCAGGGCCAUGACUUCAGCUUUUUAUUCUUCGGUGAGACCGGCGUUGAGACUGAAGACCUUAUCUGCCUCUGCUUCUGAUAAAGGGAAGAUCUCCAGUUCCCCCACCGGUUCUGUCCUGACCUCUGUUUUCUCAUCCUGGACCUCUAGAACUUCCGAGUCAAGCGUUUCUCCGGUUGAACUCGGUUCUGCUACUGUGGCUAAGUAUACUGCUCUUGCUUCUUCCUGGCUACCCCGGACUAUUCCCACUCCUUCCUCUGUUGGGAACUUAAGCGCCAAAUACCUGAUACUGGUGACGGCCUCGAAGUUGAACAGCGUCGACCUCCCCAGGAUCGCAUUGUAGCUCAACGGAAGUUUGACCACCAAAAACACCUCAUGGUGGGUGCGAGUUCUGGGUGCUUCGCCUAAGGUAAGAGCCAGCUUCACCUUUCCUUCUACGAGCACCGGUACUCCUCCGAUCCCCUUGAUUGGUGCCUGGUCUCGGACCAGCUGUUCUUCUGGAAUUCCCAUCUGCUGGAAGACCCGAUAUGGCAGUAAGUUGACCUUACUCCCGUCAUCCACUAGGACCUUUUUCACCCGAUAAUUAUGAAUAACGGUUUCAAUGACGAGCGCAUCGUCAUGGGGCAUCUGAAUAUCCUGAGCAUCUUCCGAAGAGAAAGUGAUGGUCAUGGGAGAGUGUUCAACGAUUUGCAUGACUUCGAUACUGCUGCUCUCUCCUUCCCGAUUUCUCUUCUUCCCUCUGCGGCUCAUCCGACCCCUUGUUCCCCCAACUAUCAUGUUGAUGGUCCCACUGGACCCAUCGUUCACUGGUCCAGUUCCUGUUCUCCUCGGCGUCUGGGUCGCCAGACUGGGUUGAGGCCUCUGUCCCUCUGGUUUCUUUAUGAAAUUCUUGAGGUGCCCUCUUUUUAUCAGCCUCUCGAUCUUCGUGAUUAACUGGAAGUAGUUAUUGGUAUCGUGGCCGUGUGUUCGAUGGUACUGACAAUAUUUGUCAGGAUCCCGUUGGUUUGCUUCCGAUUUCACAGGUUUGGGCCACUAGAGGAAUUCCUUAUCUUGGACAGCCAUGAGCACUUCGGCUCUGGAGGCGUUGAGUGGGGUCAGCUUCUCAGGAACCCAAGGGGGAAGUGAUCUUUGCUCAGGAACCCGAGGAGGAGGAGGUCUUUGAUCCCUUCGCUCCCAAGAUUGCUUGUACGGCUCAGGCCUCUUGCCAUGUUUCUUUUCGUGUCUCUCUGGCCUCCUUUCUUCUGAGGCUUUUUCUUUUCCUGCCAUCCCCUUGGCAAAUCGGCUUGUCACCAAGGCGUCAUCCUGCCUUAUAUACUUCUCAGCCCUCUUCAUCAGCUCGGCCAGUGAGGUCGGAGGCUUCCUGCUUAAAGAGCCGAAGAACUCGGCAGAGGUUGUCCCCUUUUGCAUGGCCUCCACCGCCCUUCCUUCAUCGAGCUCGGAAAUCUGCAGGGCCUCCGUAUUGAAACGAGCGACAUAUUCCCUGAAUGAUUCAUCCCCUCUCUGUCUUACUGUUUCCAGGUAGCUCGUCUUCCUAUCUGCUGGCACCCCGGCUAUGAACCGGCUGAUGAAGCGAGUGGCUAGAUCUCCGAAACUUCUAAUGCUUCCGGUCUCAAGGCUGUUGAACCACGCCCGUGCUGGUCCCGAGAGCGUCGUUGGGAAUACCUUGCACACUAAGGCAUCCGACAGAGUUUGCAGCUCCAUGAAGGUCUUGUAGUUCAUGACGUGCUCCCUCGGGUUACUAGCUCCGUCAUAAGCCGCCAUCGACGACAUCAUAAACUUCUUAGGAAUAGUCUCCUGCUGCACCUACUUCGAGAAAGGGGAAGAAGUGGGCAGGAAGGUUUGGCUCUUAUCCUUCUUGCCCAGCUCGGCCAAGAGCUGCUCUCUCAACUUCUGCAGCUUUUGGUCCACAUUCUCGUCUUCCAGCCUGGGUUUUUUCUCCAGGUGGUAUUCCUCCUCCUCUGCUUCAUUCCUCGUCCACCUGGUUGUCUCGGGGGAAUAGUUAUCAGCUUCCUCAUUUUCUAUCAUCUCUCUCGACCUCUUUCCAUGGAUUCGAGCCUCCGGUUCUUCCUCUUCCCCGGCUCUUCUCCCCUUUUCCCCGGUAUCGCGGCUGCUGGUUUGAAGGCGGUCAGGGGCAGGUCGGGGCUCAUUGGUUUGAGGUUCUUCUACCACUGGGAGUGUAUUUAUCGGGGUGCUGAGGCCCCUUUGUUGCAUUAUCUGCCCCAACCAGUGGGCGGUAUUCUGUAGCUGGAGAGCCAUGGUUUGAAGGUCCUGGUUAGAUAAGGUAGCGGUGGGAGUAUUCCCUGCCAAGCUUGGCGAGGGAUUGAGAGGAAUAGGCGUUUGGUUGUUUAGUAUUGUAGGACUAGAAAAGGAGAACUGCUGCCCCUCUUGGGCAGAGCUCAGGUCAUUUGGGAUGUUAAGGUUGCUUUCAUGGUGAUUAGCCAUCGUGGAUCUCAGUGGGUUUUUUCAAGAGUGGAACUCCGGUGAUGAAAAAAUCUCCUUCGUUCCCCACAGACGGCGCCAAUUGAUGAUCUGAGAUCCAGUAAAAGAGGGUUUUACAAGGGUUUCUUGUAUGGAAUCACAAGCUUAUUCUUUUUUUUUAGGGAGGGGUCUCCCCUUUUAUCCUUUUCUUCCUGCUUGCUAGUGAUGUGUAACGUCCUUCCUGUCAUUGGACCACGCGUCUCUGCUAUGAAGAUAUGGACAUACGAGGAUAUCAGGCAUCUGCCUCAUGCGUAAUGACUUCUGAUUCUCUCCGUACGUACACACAAGCGGAUCUACGGGCUGGUCGACGGGUCUCGUUCUUAAUUCUGGGCUGGGCCGAGAGAGGAACUAAACGCUGAGCCCAGGAGAUGGAGAUCUGCAUGUGAGGUCAUGCGGGCCGGGCUAAUCUGGGUGAGGAGUCCUGGUGGAGUCCGGCCUCAAGGGUUGGAUGAGACGGGCCUGCUUCGUUUAGAUGGCACGUGGGCCUUCCUUUCGUGGGCUAUGGUCGUGGUCUAGGCCCAUAAUCGGGGUAGAGAAAUCCAGCAGUCAUCAAGUGGUUUACUGGAGUUUUUGGAAACAAAGGAGCAUUUUAUAUUUUUUGGAAGGCAAACUCAAAGCUACUAUGAAUUCUACUAGAGGUUCUUACGCUCCACUUCUUAUUAGAUUGAUAGGAAAAUGAGAGAUAGCUGGAUUUCAGGAAGUAGUUUGCUCGGAAAUUACGAAAACAACCGGUUACAAGAUUUUGCAAUCGCUUUUAUCAAAAUGUCAGUUUUAGAGCUACUCAUACAAAACCAAAUAUAAAAGGAAGUUUCUUGUUAGUAAUUAGAUAUAUUUCUCUAUGUUACAAAAUCUCAGCAUCAUACAAUACAUCAUUAAGGAAUAUACUACUUUAAUGGUUCAAGCAAGAUAGUUGGCGACAUGAGAACUAAACCAAAUUUCUGAUAUUUUAAUGUUUAGAACCAUAUUUGGAAUUGAAUUUCAGUAUAGUUCUCCAUUUUAGUACAACCUCAAUUUGAUUUCAGUUUUUUUUUUUUACUUUAAUUUUAAUUUCAUUUCAGUUUAAAUUUUAAUUGUUCACUCUUUCAUCAUCCACUAUGAAAAUUUAUUAAAAUGCAAAUAAAAUUUAUAAACAGGUACAAAUUCAUUUAUAAAUUUUAUAACUUCACAAAAUCCACAUUGAGUUUUUAAUGGUUUAAUAAAUAGAUCGAAUGGUCCAUGCCGUUAAUAUGUUAAUUGAAUAUUUAGCGGUAUAAAUUACCUGAAAGUUAAUAUAAUGAAAAACCUAAUACCCAAAAUACUUAUGGCACUUGGAGUGAGAAGUAAGAGCAUUUCCCUCUAUUAACUUUGUCCAUGUAAAACACAUCAUUAUCCGUCCAAAGAGAGUGGGACAGGGCAAUGAGAGAAAACAUCCAUUUCUUUGAAAGUUUUAAAUUUGGUUGCACAAAAAUGGAAUGGAGCUUUUGGAACUAGAGGAACACUUGUAUUUUGGAGGGCAAACUCAAAGCAGCAAUACGGUGAUUCAUCAUCUAACUUUGAGGAGAUAUCUCAACGUCAAUUAGACUAUAUAAGAGUCCUACCAGAGGUUUUUAUGUUCUACUUAGAUUGUAAAGAAGGAGAGACAGUUUGGCUUCAAGAAGUGGUUUGUUUAGAGAUCCGUAGGCAACUAGUUAUAGGGUUUUGCUAUUGCUUUUCUCGUACAAAAUUAAAUAUAAAAGAAAGCUUCUUGUUAAUAAUCACGAAUGCUUUCUCUAUGCUAUAAAAUCCCAGUAUCAUAUAAUACAUCAUCAAGGAACAUGCUACUUUAACAAUUCAAGGGGAGUAGAGAGUGAAAUGCUAAAAGAAAAAGCUAUGGUGAAGGAAGUACAUGCCCAUAAAGAUAUACACUUCUCCAUAUUCAGUUUAGUACUCUAGUUAUAAAUGUGACAAAUUGAAAAGAUUUGAUUUUAUUAUUCAAAAUUUAAAAUUUAAAAUAUAAAUAUAGAUUAAUGUAAAUAUUUGGAUUAUUUAUCAUUCUAUGUCUGUUUACAAAUCCAAACAUAUCCAUUUAAUUUUACCAGCAAAUUAUUUAUCCGGUUGCGAAUUAGUUUGUAUCCAUUUAAUUUUACAAAUUAUACACUCAUUUGUGAUAAUUUUAUGUCCAUUUAAUUUUGUAAAUAGAUUCUACGUUUAUUUAUAUCCAUUUAAUUUUAUAAACAGAUUAUAUAGUCAUUUGCAAAUUAGUUUGUAUUUAUUUAAUUUUACAAAUAGAUUAUGUGUCCGUUUGUAAAUCAUUGUAUUCAUUUAAUUUUAUGAACGAAUUACAUGUUUAUUUGUGAAUCAGUUUGUAUCGAUUUAAUUUUACAAAUAGAUUAUAUAUCCUUUUGAAAACAAUUUGUUUCCUUUAAUUUUAUAAACGGAUCAAACAUUCUUUCAUGAAGCAAUUUGUAUCCAUUUAAUUUUACAAAUGGAUUAUACGUCCCUUAGCAAAUAUAUUAAUUUCUAUUUAAUUUAUAAACAAAUUAUAUAUUUGUUUGCAAAUUAAUUUGUAUUUAUUUAAUUUUAAAAUGGAGUAUACAUCUAUUUAUAAAUUUGUCUGUGAUGAUUUAUAAAAUUUUUACAAAUAAAUUAUACAUCUAUUUGUAAAUCAAUUUGUGAUGAGUUGCAAAACUCACCAUUUUUUUCAUAUUAAAUUCUAUAAUUUUGCUAUGAUUCUGAUGUGAAUAAUUUAUUUUUAUUUGAAAUUUGAUUUUGGAUAGGUUUUGAGCUAAAAAUGAGAAAAAGUAUCAAGAGAGGCUGGUUUAGAUUUUUUUUUUUCUGACCGGAAGUUACAGCCUUACUCAAGGUUGUAGUCUAAGUUGACGGACAGAUUCUAGGAUUACUGCUGUAUAAAAUUCAAAACUGUUUCAGAUAUAUGCAAACAUUAGAAUUAAAAAAUAAGAGUUAUCAUAGAAGUAGUAUAUUUAUUUUAUUUUUUCUUUUAAACUAUAAAUAAUUAUCUUUUUAUUUAUAAAAAGUCUAUAUAAAGACUGCCCUAGAAGUAGAAUUUACCAUCUCUUCUCAUCAUCUCAUCUCCUCUCUUUUCGGUCCCUUCUUGGCUGAAUUCUUCCUCCCCUCUUUUUAUUUUUCUGCAAUUUUAUUAUGACAUUUAGAAGCUAAACUCUUUUAUUUAGUUAAAAGUUAAUCAAAUUGAAGUUCAUUUAAAAUUACAAGAUUAUGUUUUUAAUUUUUGUUUAUUUUAUUUUUAUUUUCAAUUAAUUUCUAUUUUUGAGAAACACCACCUCCAUUGUUGUCCUUUUAGAAAUUCAAGAAGUCUAUUGAAUCUCUUAGGAAAACAUAUUAUUAUUUAAUUCAAGUAAAUAUGUAAUUGUUUAAUUGGGUUAAUACAAUUAACAACUAGCAUUUUUUUAUGUUAAGUAAUUAAUUUAUUUGUUAUUAUUGAUUAAAUUUGAGUUAUUCUCCUCUUAAAGCGGUUAAUUAAUUAAAUCUACACGCUUAAUGGAGUUAUUAAUUAACUAGAAAUUAAUUUAAGCGCUAUGCAAAUUAAUUUAAUCAUAAGAAAGAAUCAGUGGAAUUCAUUUGUUUGAACACUAUAGCCAAAAACUUUCUUUUUAAUCAAUAAUUAAUGGCAAAUCUUUUAAUUUUGAUUAUCUUCAUUUUAAUUUGAUUAUUUGUUUCAUCGUUUUAAUUCCGUUAUUUUCUUCUUUUAAGUGUUCUUUUUAAAUUCUAUUCUUUUCUUUUUUUUUUAAACUAUUCUUUUAUCCUACUUGUCAUCUAAUUUAAAUAAAAUUAAGGUCUUUGUGUAGAUCAACAUUCAUUUACCCUAUCUGCAGAUUUUUUUAAAUCAAGUAAAAGGAAAUCAAUUUUAAUUAACGGAUUCAACGCCUGUUUGUAUCUAUUGAAUUUUAUAAAUGGAUUCUAUACUUGUUUAUGAAUCCUUUUGCAUUUAUUUAAUUUUACAAACAGAUUAUAUAUUCGUUUAAAAAUCAAAUUGUGUUUAUUUAAUUUUAUAAAUGUAUUACUCAUUGGUUUGUAAAUACAUUUAUGUCUAAUGCUAAAUAUGUGAAAAAAAAUAUAUCAAUUCUAUAUUUAAUCUUUAUAUUAAUUUAUAUUUUAAUCAUUUUUUUUAAUUUCAAUUUAAUACUUCAUGAGUUGCAAAAUUUAUUAUUUUUUCCAUAUUAAAUUGCAUGAUUUUGAUAUAAGCAAUUGAUUUUUACUUAAAUUUUAAUUUUGGAUAGAUUUUAAGCCGAAAAUGAGAAAAUAAAUCAAAUACCAUGUUAGAGCUUUUUCUGACUAGAAGGUAUAGUUUUAUUCAAAGUUGUGAUCGAAACUCGAUGGACAAAUUGCAUUAUUUCUGUUUUGCCAGCUUUAUAGAGUUCAUAACUAUUUUCAUAUAGAUGCAAAUACAAUCAGAUUAGGAUUAAGAUAAGAGUUAUCAUAGGUGACACGGAGCAACUAGCCUUAGAUUUUACGGCAGACUUGGACCGAGUCUAACUUUUACUGCCGACGUCCGAUGGAAAUCCACAAUAAUUUUUCAGAAAGAGAAUUUCAAGAUGCGCAAUUUUCAAAAGUGUGAUAAAGGCCGUAGGCCUGUCACAAAAUUCGAUAUGAAAAUUCCACUGUUUAGAGGGUCAAUUUUGCAUUUUAUUAUUUUUUUGGAUAUUUUUAUAAUUUUGCAUAUUAGAGUUUGUUUCUUAUUAUAAAUAGCCUUCCUUUGCUAUUUGGAACUCACUUUUCAAUCUUUAAAGAAUUUCAAUAAGAUUUUGCGGCUUUUAUCCUAUCUUUCUCUUAUAUCGUCUUAGCAAAGCGAUAUUGGUUAAAACUCCUGACGGAGUUUAAAUAGUCUUUUAUCAGAUAGGUAUCAGAGUAAAAGUUCGACUAUGGCAGAGAACUAAGAGGCGCGAUUUACUGCAAUUGAGGCAUCUUUGGCAGAAUUGAGGGAGAUGAUCGGAAAGUUGGCCUUGCAGUAGGGAAUCCACCAACUCGCCGCCGCCGCCCACCCCCAGCCAGUCGCUAAUCCUGUGGCUGCCAAUCAUAUGCCUACAAAUCCCUAAUAGAAUUAUCAGGAAGGUUACAAGAUCAAGAUAGACUUUCAAAACUUUUGUGGUUCGUUGGAUGUAGAAUAUGUUCUUGAUUGGUUGGCGGAGGUUGAACGUUUCUUCGAAAUUAUGAACGUGAAAGAGGAUUGCAAGGUUCCGUUUGUGGCCUAUAAGUUAAAGGGGGUGCAGCAUCCUGAUGGAAUUCAAUUCAAAACGAACGCUAUCGGAGGAGGCUUGAUCCCAUACAAAAUUGAAUGUUGAUGAAGUAGAUGAUUGAACAACGGUUCUCGCCUAGCGAUCACGCUCAAAUUUUAUAUUAUCGGAAUCAUGACUGUAAUACCCGGUUAGACCCCGGUAUCGGAGUUCUUAAGUUCCGGCGGAUUUUCCGUUGGAAUUAGGGAUUCGAGGAUGCCGGAGCUUGCCCUAAGGGUAUAAGAGAGGUUUUUAAAGUGUUUUUUAUCAUGUUUGCAUGUUUUAAGUUAAGAAAAUUGAGUUUUUGCAUGAAAAGACCAAGGGGACGGAAGCCAGGUUCGGCCGCCGAAGGUGAAGUUCGGCCGCCGAAGGUUGCAUGGUUUCGCAUGCACGUUAGGCCGCCGAAGGUGAGCUGGUUGGCCACUACAAAAGCCCUUUGACCGAAAACUUUGGGGUAGAACACCCUGUUUUUGAGCCAAAGGUAAGUCCAUGUCCUCCUUAGAAGAUUUUCUCAUGUUUUCCUCAAAUCUUGCAUGUUUUAACAUGAUUUGAACUUUGGUUUAGAGUAUUGAGCAAAAGGAAGCAAGUCGAGCAACUUGGAGACUUUGAUUAGUUUUCCCCCACAUCUCCCAGCUUGGACCAUCAAUCCUCUAGUUCUUCAAGAGGUAAGCAUGGAUCCGCACCUCCCCUUAUGUUUAAAGUAAGUUUUGAGAAGUUUUAGAGAGUUUUUGGCAUGGUUUGGGGUGUAACCAUGAGUUUGAGCAUAUGUUGACCAUAUGAGUUAUGAAGAGUUUUGAUGUUGCUUUUGGGGUAUGAGUUAGUUUUUAGGCCCCUUUAUGCAUGAGAUAUGUUAUAUGUUAGUUGAGAAGUGUUGCUAUGCAUGUUAUGGGGGUUUUUUAGGUUUUGGGAGGCUAAAACCCUGAGUUGGGUUGGGAUUCUGCCUUUCUGGAGAAUCCAGGUUCGGCCGCCGAAGCAAGGUUCGGCCGCCGAACCCCUUGAGGAGGCAGUUUCGGCUGCCAAACCUUGCCCCCGAAAGCCAGGUUUUCGGAUUAGAAAAGGACUUUCGGCCGCCGAAAGAGGGAGUUCGGCCGCCGAAAGUGUGUGAGUUUCGUCUCUGGACGUGACUUUCGGCCGCCGAAGGUGCCGCCGAACAUGCAUGAGUUUCGUCUCUGGAGGGAGGUUUCGGCCGCCGAACUAGCCGCCGAAAGUACCCUAUCCAGCCUUCUUUUGCAUGUUAUAUGUGUAUGUUGUAAGAUCUUUUAGGGGGGUUUUGGGGAGAUAUUAAGAGUGAUGUUUAAGUAAGUUUGGUCCUCAUUUGAGUCCACCUGUGUAGGUGCGGACCCGAGGAACCCAGAAGGCCCACAGCGUUAGAGUUACAGAGACUGCUCAGCAGUUGACAGAGGUGAGUGGAACAGAACUUUGUUUUUAAGAUUACUGAAUGUUUUAGCAUGAUUCAUGCAUCAUUAAUGCCAUGAUAUGUAGGAUGUUUUGCAUUGCACUAGAAUACACGAAGAUAAUGUGUUGCAUUAUUAUUUGUAUAUGUGGAUUGGACCAAGGCGACUCCAAUAGCCCGUAAGUCUGUCAUUAUUGAAAGACCUGUGUGAGCUCCUUUGGGGCCGGGCAUUUUACUUGGAUGAGUCCUGUGAGAGCCCUUUCUAGGGUCGGGCACCAUGAGUAGAUUAGUGAAAGUCCUGUGUGAGCUCCUUAGGGGGCCGGGCACCGACAGAGGGAGUUUUGGGGUCAUGUCCAAUCUGAGAUGUGAAAUGUUUGUGCUGUGACGCAUUUCAUGUUAGCAUAUUUUAAAUGUUUUUAUGGCUUCCACUCACUGGGCUUUAGUAGCUCAUCCCUCUCCCUAACCCCAUUUUUCAGGGCCUCAAGAAAGAGAAAGAGAAAGAGAAAGAGAAAGCAAGGGUAAAAGCAUAUGUAAUAGCAUAGAGUAGUGGACAUGAUUUACAGUACAGCGUUUAUGUAAUGUAUAGACAUGAUAUAACAGUUAAGUAUGUAUUGAGUUAUAGAAUUGUGCUUGGCCCUAGUGUAUGUUUAUCCCUUUGCACAUGAUCAUUUUAUGUUUGAGUUUUAUGUAUGAGAUGAUGUUUUAUGCUGAGUUCUAGCAUGGUUUAAGGACUCCAAGUAAGGGGGUCUUCAUGCUUCCAGUGACUGUAUGGUACCACAGCAGGUAUCACUCUCAGAAGUGCAUACAGUAUAUGUUCAGUUUAAGUUUAGUAAGAGAAAAAAAAAAGUAUAAAAAGUUUACAGUUUAUGCUUAAGUGUGAUCAUAUAUGGGAUAUAUCAGAUACAUAGAGUUCAGUAGGCUUACUACGGGUCCCGGCGGCCUUAAGCCGAUCUGGAUCCUAGUGCCGAUGGCAGUCCAAUUUUGCGGGCUGUUACAAUGACUGUGUAUAAGGAAAUCGAAGGGUGGAUGAAUAUACCAAGGAGUUUUUUAAGUUGCAGGCGAGGUGUGAAAACUGUGAGAAUGAAGUUUAGCAGGUUGGUCAUUAUUAGAGGAGUUUGAAUCAUGAAAUUCGUUGUAUGAUGGGAGUAGCUACGAUUUUCACUUUGGCAUACGCCAUUGAGAUGGCAAAAAGGGUAGAAGAGCGUGUUGAUUGGUAGCUACGACAGCAGUAUUGUAAUACCCGGCUAGACCCCGGUAUCGGAAUUCCUACGUUCCGGCGGAUUUUCCGUUGGAAUCCGGGAUUCGAGGAUGCCGGAGCUUGCCCUAAGGGUAUAAGAGAGGUUUUUAAAGUGUUUUUAAAGUGUUUUUAUCAUGUUUGCAUGUUUUGAGUUAAGAAAAUUGAGUUUUGAAAUGAAAAGACCAAGGGGACAAAAGCCAGGUUCGGCCGCCGAAGGUGAAGUUCGGCCGCCGAAAGUUGCAUGGUUUCGUAUGCAUGUUAGGCCGCCGAAGGAGAGGCGGGUUGGCCACUACAAAAGCCCUUUGACCAAAAAUUUAGGGUAAAACACUCUGUUUUUGGGUCAAAGGUGGGUUCAAGCUCUCCUUGGAAGAUUUUCUCAUGUUUUCCUCAAAUCUUGCAUGUUUUAACAUGAUUUGAACUUUGUUUUAGAGUUUUGAGCAAAAAGAAGCAAGUUGAGCAACUUGGAGACUUUGAUUGAGCUUUACACCCAUCUCCAAGCUUGGACCAUCAAUCCUCUAGUUCUUCAAGAGGUAAGCAUGGAUCCUCACCUCCCCUAUGUUUAAAAGUAAGUUUUGAGAAGUUUUAGAGAGUUUUAUGGCAUGGUUUAGGGUGUAACCAUGAGUUUGAGCAUAUGUUGACCAUAUGAGCUAUGAUGAGUUUUGAUGUUGCUUUUGGGGUUUGAGCUAGUCUUUAGGCCCCUAUAUGCAUGAGAUAUGUUAUAUGUUAGUUGAGAAGUGUUGGUAUGCAUGUUAUGGGUAUUUUAUAGGUUUUUGGAGGCUGGAACCCUGAGUUGGGUUGGGAUUCUACCUUUCUGGAGAAUCCAGGUUCGGCCGCCGAACCCCUUGAGGAGGCAGUUUCGGCUGCCAAACCUUGCCCCCGAAAGCUAGGCUUUCGGUUUAGAAAAGGACUUUCGGCCGCCGAAAGAGGGAGUUCGGCCGCCGAAAGUGUGUGAGUUUCGUCUCUGGACGAGACUUUCGGCCGCCGAAGGUGCCGCCGAACAUGCAUGAGUUUCGUCUCUAGAGGGGGUUUCGGCCGCCGAACCAGCCGCCGAAAGUACCCUGUCCAGCCUUCUUUUGCAUGUUUUAUGUGAUUGUUUUAGGAUCUUUUAGUGGAGUUUUGGGGAGAUGUUAAGAGUUAUGUUUAAGUAAGUUUGGUCCUCAUUUGAGUCCACCUGUGUAGGUGCGGACCCGAGGAACCCAGAAGGCCCACAGAGUUAGAGUUACAGAGACUGUCAGCAGUUGACAGAGGUGAGUGGAACAGAACUUUGUUUUAAAGUUAAUGAAUGUUUUAGCAUGUUACAUGCAUCAUUAAUGCCAUGAUAUAUAGGAUGUUUGGCAUUGCAUUAGUAUACACGAAGUUGAUGCAUCGCAUUAUUACUUGUAUAUGUGGAUUGGACCAAGGCGACUCCAAUAGCCAUAAGUCUGUCAUUAUUGUAAGACCUGUGUGAGCUCCUUUGGGGCCGGGCAUUUUACUUGGAUAAGUCCUGUGAGAGCCCUUUCUAGGGUCGGGCACCAUGAGUAGAUUAGUGAAAGUCCUGUGUGAGCUCCUUAGGGGGCCGGGCACCGACAGAGGGAGUUUUGGGGUCAUGUCCAAUCUGAGAUGUGAAUUGUUUGUGCUGUGACGCAUUACAUGUUAGCAUAUUUUAAAUGUUUUUUUAUGGUUUCCGCUCACUGGGCUUUAGUAGCUCAUCUCACUCCCUAACCCCAUUUUUCAGGGCCUCAGAGAAGAGAAAGAGAAAGAGAAAGCAAGGGUAAAAGUUUAUGUAAUAGCAUAGAGUAGUGGACAUGAUAUACAGUACAGAGUUUAUGUGAUGUAUAGAUAUGAUGUAAUAGUAAGUUAUGUAUUGAGUUAUAGAAUUGUGCUUGGCCCUAGUGUAUGUUUAUCCCUUUACACAUGAUCAUUUUAUGUAUAUGUUAUAGAUAAUGUUGCUUUGAUGAGAGCUAGGCUUGGUGCAUGAUAGUAUAACCCAUCUAAAGCAUAGUGAGAACUUUAGUGAGGGGUUUCUAUCUCUGUAGUUACUGUAUGGUACCAUAGCAGGUAUCACUCUCUGAGUGCAUACAGACAGAGCAUGCAUAGUCCAAGCUUAGUGUAUGAGAAAAGUUUCAAGUUUUACAGAAAAGAAAAGAUUAGAAAAGCAAAGUAAGAAAAAAAUAUGUAGUACAGCUUAAGUAUAUGUUGAUCAUGUAUGGGAGUUAACAGGUACACAGAGUUUACAGUUGGCUUACUACGGGUCCCGGCGGCCUUAAGCCGAUCUGGAUCCUAGUGCCGGUGGCGGUCCAAUUUCCGGGCUGUUACAAGUAUAACCGAAAUUUUAAUUACAGAAAUUCUGGAUUGACAGGGACGCAGCAGUAUAGAGGCAAUUAUAGCGGACAACCUUCUAUGGUUGUAAAUUUUGGCAAUUCUCAGAAUACUAUGGAAGAAACGAGAGACAAUAAGGGAAAAACAGUCACCACUACAGCAGACAAAGAAGACAGAUUUUUUAGUAGAAGUUGAGAAAAUGAACGAAAAAAGACUGAAUUAAAAGAUUUUUGUACAGAGAGAUUGCAAUAUUGGCCAAACUUGUAGUCCAAGGCGAUGGGAAGUUUCAAAAAGCCCCAUCUCAGCAAAUUUUGCCAUCUAACCAAGGAUAAGAUAAGUUUCAAAUUGGAUCAAACACAAUCAGAUUAGAAUGGAGAUAAGAUAGGAGUGGUAGAAUUUAUUUUAAAUUAUUAAAUUCUAUCUUUUUGUACCUAUAUAAAAACUCUUAGAAUUAAACCUAGGCAUCAUAUUUUCUUCUUCUCUCCCCCCUCUCCUCUCCUCUCUUGCCGCCACCCCUCUCUCUUCUUCUCCAUCUUCUUUUCUUUUUCUUUUUUCUUUUUUUUUCUUUAGCUUUUGCAAUUUUAUUAUAGUUUUUAGAGGCUAAAUAAUUAUUUUCAGUUGAUAAUUAAUUUCAAUUGAGGUUUUAUUCAAGUUGUGAGUUUAUGUAUUUCAAUUUUUUUUUAUCUUAUUUCUAUUUUCUAUUAAUUUCUGAAUUGGAGGAACACCACCUCCAUUAUUAUUUUCUUGAGAAUUCAAGGGGCCUAUUGAAUUUCUUGGAAAGAUAAUAUAUUGCUAAUUAAUCUAAUUGGAUCUAUCUAAUUGGAUCCAUAAUUAUUUAAUUGGGUUAAUAACAAAUAACAAUUAACAUAUUAGUUUAUGGUAAAAAAUUAGUAGAUUUGAUUUAAACAAAUCGCGUGUUUUUAUUGAUUAAGUUUGGGUUAUUCUCUUUUAAUGCAGUUGACUAAUUAAAUCUAUACGCGUGUUUGGGUUAUUAGUUAACUAGGAAUUAAUUUAAGCGCGAAACGGAUUAAUUUAUUCAUAAGUAAGAAUUGGUAGGAUUCGUGUGUUUGACCACCAUAACCAAACAAUAGAUAAUAAUAUGAAUUUUUUUUCUAACUAAUGAUCAAUUAUAAAACACAUUUGAUUACCUUCGGCUGAAAGUUUUAAUUAAUUAUUUGUUUCUCAAAUUUUAAUUGCAUUAUUUAUUAUUUUUCUUGGCUUGCCAAGGCAAAACCACUUUCAUCAAAAAAACUAUUUUCUUCUCACUUGUUGUAUUAAACUACUCUUCUAUCUAUAUGGUAUAGAUACUCCUUUACUCUAUCUACAAGUUCUAAUCAAUCAAGAAAAGGGAAGUAAAUUUUAAAUUGACAGAUUGGACACUCGUCAGUGAGCUGGUUAUUAAUAUUAAAAAGUGCAUUUAUACGAGGGAGUGCAGCAAGCCAUUUCAUUAAAAAACUCUCUUCUUCUCACUUUAUUUAUAUGUGGGAGUGCAGCAAGCCAUUUUCAUCAAAAAACUCUUAUCACUUGUUGUAUUAAACUACUUUUUUAUUUCAAAUUGAUUAUCUAAAUUAAACAGAAUUAAGGUUUCUGCGGAAUCAAUACUCACUUACUCUAUCCUCAAAUUCUUAUUAAUUAAGAGAAGGAAAGUACAUUUUAAAUUGAUGGAUUCGACAUUCGUCAGUGAGCUGGUUAUUAAUAUUAAAAAGUGCAUUUAUAUGAUGGAGCGUAUUCUGUUUUUGAAAUUCAUUGUUAGUGUAGAAGAGAUAUAUAUUGAUGAGAAAAAGGUAGAAGCAAUAUAGAAUUGACUCAUCCCAAAACUAUUUCUGAAGUUAAUAAAAAUGGACUUGUUAAGGGGUGUUCUUUGAAGCUGUUAUUCUAAAAGAUGAGAGUACCCAUUAAUUCUCUCAACAUAUGAUUUAUGAAUGGAGGCAUGCUAGAUGUCAGGAGUGUAGGAACUUUGAACAUUAUGAAUCUCAGUAUGAGAAAAAGCACGAGAGAUAAGUCUGGCAACUUAAGAAUAAAAAAAUGGAUGGGAAUAAGGGUGACAAUGUUGAAGAGGUGGUAAUGAUAGCACGGAAUAUAAAUGAAGGAAAAUGGAAGAGGAGAGUGGUGGGAAGUGGGAAAGAAAAAGAGAAAAUAUAGUCUCACGAGAGAAAAUCAUUAAUUAUAUAAUAUUAUAACAGGGAGAUUGAAAGCAUUUUAGUUUUUUUUUUUUUUGCUUUAUNNNNNNNNNNNNNNNNNNNNNNNNNNNNNNNNNNNNNNNNNNNNNNNNNNNNNNNNNNNNNNNNNNNNNNNNNNNNNNNNNNNNNNNNNNNNNNNNNNNNNNNNNNNNNNNNNNNNNNNNNNNNNNNNNNNNNNNNNNNNNNNNNNNNNNNNNNNNNNNNNNNNNNNNNNNNNNNNNNNNNNNNNNNNNNNNNNNNNNNNNNNNNNNNNNNNNNNNNNNNNNNNNNNNNNNNNNNNNNNNNNNNNNNNNNNNNNNNNNNNNNNNNNNNNNNNNNNNNNNNNNNNNNNNNNNNNNNNNNNNNNNNNNNNNNNNNNNNNNNNNNNNNNNNNNNNNNNNNNNNNNNNNNNNNNNNNNNNNNNNNNNNNNNNNNNNNNNNNNNNNNNNNNNNNNNNNNNNNNNNNNNNNNNNNNNNNNNNNNNNNNNNNNNNNNNNNNNNNNNNNNNNNNNNNNNNNNNNNNNNNNNNNNNNNNNNNNNNNNNNNNNNNNNNNNNNNNNNNNNNNNNNNNNNNNNNNNNNNNNNNNNNNNNNNNNNNNNNNNNNNNNNNNNNNNNNNNNNNNNNNNNNNNNNNNNNNNNNNNNNNNNNNNNNNNNNNNNNNNNNNNNNNNNNNNNNNNNNNNNNNNNNNNNNNNNNNNNNNNNNNNNNNNNNNNNNNNNNNNNNNNNNNNNNNNNNNNNNNNNNNNNNNNNNNNNNNNNNNNNNNNNNNNNNNNNNNNNNNNNNNNNNNNNNNNNNNNNNNNNNNNNNNNNNNNNNNNNNNNNNNNNNNNNNNNNNNNNNNNNNNNNNNNNNNNNNNNNNNNNNNNNNNNNNNNNNNNNNNNNNNNNNNNNNNNNNNNNNNNNNNNNNNNNNNNNNNNNNNNNNNNNNNNNNNNNNNNNNNNNNNNNNNNNNNNNNNNNNNNNNNNNNNNNNNNNNNNNNNNNNNNNNNNNNNNNNNNNNNNNNNNNNNNNNNNNNNNNNNNNNNNNNNNNNNNNNNNNNNNNNNNNNNNNNNNNNNNNNNNNNNNNNNNNNNNNNNNNNNNNNNNNNNNNNNNNNNNNNNNNNNNNNNNNNNNNNNNNNNNNNNNNNNNNNNNNNNNNNNNNNNNNNNNNNNNNNNNNNNNNNNNNNNNNNNNNNNNNNNNNNNNNNNNNNNNNNNNNNNNNNNNNNNNNNNNNNNNNNNNNNNNNNNNNNNNNNNNNNNNNNNNNNNNNNNNNNNNNNNNNNNNNNNNNNNNNNNNNNNNNNNNNNNNNNNNNNNNNNNNNNNNNNNNNNNNNNNNNNNNNNNNNNNNNNNNNNNNNNNNNNNNNNNNNNNNNNNNNNNNNNNNNNNNNNNNNNNNNNNNNNNNNNNNNNNNNNNNNNNNNNNNNNNNNNNNNNNNUAUUGUAUACAAAAAUUCAUUUUUAUUUAGAGUCAAAUAAAUUCAAUUUAAAAUUUUAGGUUAAUUAAACUAUGUAAUUUUAUUGAGAGCUAAAUAGAUUCUAACUUAAUAUUAUUUUUUAAUUAUAAAAUAUUAUUUUUAUAAUUUAAAACAUUAAAAAUUUAGUAGUUUAAUUAUCAUAAAAAUUUUAAAAAAUAUAUAAAUAUAAUAAAUAAUUUUUAAAAUUAUAAAAAUAAAGUUUCAUCAUAUAAAAAAUAAUUUUAUUAUUAAAAAAUAAUAUUAUGUUAAAUUUUAACUUAUUUGACUCUUGAGUAAUAGUAUAUAGAUUUAAUUGAUUCAAAAUUUUGAAUUAAAAUUAUUUGACCCUUAAAUAAAGGUAAAGACUUAAUUAAAUUUAUAUUUAAAAAAUUAUUAUUAUAAAAUGAUAAAUUUAAUUUGUUAUUAAAUAAUAUUCUUAUAUGAAAAAUUAAUAAAAAAAAUUACAAAAUAUGCUGCAUAUAAACAACUAGUAAUGCAUUUCCUUUCCCAAUUUCCUUUUGUUAUCCUAACCACUUUACCAGCUGGCAGAGAGCCUUCCCUUUCCGAUUUUCUAUUUCCUUUCCUCAUCCCAAUCUCCGAUACAUCCCUAAAAACAACUGACGAUAGAUCGAUGAUGAUGAUGAUGAAGAUGCCUUGGAGGAGCAAGAGCAGGAGCUUCCAUCUUCAGCUACAAGGGGCAAUUGGUACCAUUCAAUCUCCAUUCCUAUUCUUAUUUUUACCAAUUAUUGCCAUUCUUCUACUUCCACACUUGAAGAUGCACGCUUCUUAACAAAUAACUUCAAAUCUGCUUCUUUUACCCGCCUUGAUGAUGCCAUUGCUUCCUUUAAUCAUGUAAUUCAUAUGCAUCCUCUGCCUUCUAGGGCUCCAUUUAAUAGAUUCUUUUCUGCCCUUGUGAAAAUGAAACAAUAUCAUACUGUCCUUUCCAUGUCUAAAACAAUUGAAUUGCUAGGAAUCUCUCACAAUGUUUAUUCUCUUAACAUCUUAAUUAAUUGCUUCUGCCACUUGCACCUUGUGGAUUUUGGCUUCUCUGUUUUCGGCAAGAUGUUCAAAUUCGGAUUGGAGCCUACCACUGUGACAUUUACUACCUUAAUUAAUGGGCUUUGUAUAGAGAGUGAAAUCGAUAAAGCAGUGCAAUUUUUCGAUGAUAUGGUUGCACGUGGUUAUCAACCUAAUGUUUAUACUUACAAUGUGAUAAUAAACGGAAUGUGUAAAUUUGGGAAAACAAAUGUGGCUAUUGGGCUACUAAAGGGAAUGGCUGAUAGAGGUUGUGAGCCAAAUGUUGUGACAUACAAUGCAAUCACUGACGCACUUUGCAAGGAUGAGCUAGUUGAUGAGGCAUUAGAGCUCUUCUCUCAAAUGAGGAAUAAGGGCAUUUCACCUAAUGUCAUCACUUACACUGGUUUAAUUCACGGUGUUUGCAAAUUAGGCCAAAAGAACCCAGCUUUGGCCUUGAUGAAUGAAAUGGUGGAGCAGAACAUAUCACCUGAUGUUUAUACCUUCACUGUAUUGAUUGAUGCUCUUUGUAAGGAUGGAAUGGUUUCAGAGGCUCAAAAUACAUUCAAUAUAAUGAUUCAAAGAGGUGUAGAGCCUAAUAUGGUCACCUACACUUCCUUAAUUGAUGGUCUUUGCAUUUCAGACCAAUUCAAGGAAGCUUUGGCCUUGUUGAAAGAAAUGGUGGGGAGGAACAUAUCCCCUAAUGUUUUUACCUUCAAUAUAUUGAUCGACACUCUUUGUAAGAAAGGACUGGUUUCAAAUGCACAAAAUAUAAUCAAAAUAAUGAUUCAAAGAGGUGUGGAAC